Molecule: long non-coding RNA, 57603 nt
Filed under: Coffea arabica (coffee)
Lineage: Eukaryota; Viridiplantae; Streptophyta; Magnoliopsida; Gentianales; Rubiaceae
Description: long non-coding RNA (CARA_LNC006905)
Source: RNAcentral
GUGUGAAGUGUGGUGUGAACGUGUGCAAAAUGAAAAGUAAAAGGCCAUGGGACUUUGGAAAGCGACGAUUUGGCCAAAUGAGAUUUUAAAAAGGGUUUUUUAAAUAUGAAAACGGAGUCGCCACUUGGUAUAGAUUUGGGGUGUACCAAGUCACCCAAAAAGUAUUUUUUAAAAGAAUUAUUUAAGUUCAGCUUAUAGCCCCAAAAGUAUUUUCUUUAACAUGCGAUAUCAGAUUUCUUGGUCAAAUUGCAUUUUCCUUACCAUGCUUCCAAUAAUGUUUUCAUGGUCUAAGAAAUUUUGUUUUUUGGUUUUCAAUUUUUGAUGUUUUCGUCUUGAAUUUUUAGGUUGCAAAGAGAUUGGAGAAGUUUAAAACAACAAUUUUCACACAGAUGAGCAUGCUUGCCAUUAAGCAUGGGGCUAUUAACCUGGGGCAAGGCUUUCCCAAUUUUGAUGGUCCUGAAUUUGUUAAAGAAGCAGCUAUUCAAGCCAUUAAAGAUGGAAAAAAUCAAUAUGCUCGUGGAUAUGGUGUGCCAGAUCUCAAUUCAGCUGUUGCUGCAAGAUUUCAUCAGGACACUGGACUCCUGGUUGACCCUGAAAAGGAAGUAACUGUGACCUCAGGAUGCACUGAAGCAAUUGCUGCAACCAUUUUAGGCUUAAUAAAUCCUGGAGAUGAAGUCAUCCUUUUUGCUCCUUUUUAUGACUCAUAUGAAGCCACCUUAUCCAUGGCUGGUGCUAAAGUAAAGAGUGUAACACUACGGCCUCCCAAUUUUUCAGUACCUCUUGAUGAACUCAAGUCUGUUAUCUCCAAGAAUACUCGAGCAAUCCUUAUCAACACUCCACAUAACCCCACUGGGAAGAUGUUCACUCGAGAAGAGCUCAGCUUGAUAGCAUCUCUGUGCAUUGAGAAUGACGUUCUAGUUUUUGCAGAUGAAGUUUAUGACAAACUAGCUUUCGAAAUGGAUCACAUUUCUGUGGCGUCCCUUCCUGGGAUGUACGAGAGGACUGUCACUAUGAAUUCAUUAGGGAAGACUUUUUCCUUAACUGGCUGGAAAAUCGGGUGGGCAAUAGCUCCUCCACAUCUGACAUGGGGAGUGAGACAAGCCCAUUCAUUUCUCACCUUUGCAAUCGACUCCCAUGCAGUAUGCAGCUGCAACAGCGCUUAGAGCCCCAGACUCCUACUAUGAGGAGCUAAAGACUGAUUACAUGGCAAAGAAAGCGAUCCUUGUCGAUGGAUUGAAGGCUGCAGGUUUCAUAGUUUUUCCAUCCAGCGGAACUUAUUUCAUAAUGGUGGAUCACACUCCUUUUGGGCUGGAAAAUGAUGUUGCCUUCUGCGAGUAUCUGAUCAAGGAAGUUGGAGUUGUGGCAAUUCCAACUAGUGUCUUUUACUUGAAUCCAGAAGAGGGAAAGAAUCUUGUAAGGUUUACCUUUUGCAAGGAUGAGGAAACUCUUAGAAGUGCGGUUGAGAGAAUGAAAGCGAAGCUGUCCAAGAAGUUCUAACCCACGAGGCAUGUUUUAGAAAUACCUCAUUUAUAUGGUGCUACUAUUUGUAAUAUGCAGCUGUGGUGUUGCGUGGGACAAUAAAUUGUGACUGUUACCAUUGGCACCAUAAGGAAUUGCAAAAACAAAAAUACUUAUGGGAUUUAAAGUUCUAUUGAUAAAUCAUUUCUAUGAUGGGAUUAUUUCGGAAACCUCCCCUAACCUGAUAAUUAACUUGUCACCCUUGAAGUUUCAAAUGUUUUACUUAUCUCUCAUAUUAGUGAGAUGGGGCCACUAAUCAUCAUUUAUGAAUUUGAUAAAAUUACCCUGAUUGCUUACAAUUUUUUUACGGUUAAAAAGUAUGGAAGAAAAAAAUUGAAAUCGCCAAGAUUAAAUGGCUGUUUUAACAUUUUCGUUUUUACUUGGACCAUCACACUUAUUUAGCCCCCCUAUGCCAACCACGUAUUAAGUUAUCCUUAUUAUUCUAAUAAUUAUUUAGGAAAAAAAAUCUUAUUUAGUCCUCCUGUGUCAACCAUGUAUUAAGUUAUCACUGUUAUUCUAACAAUUAUUUUUAAAAUUAAAUACCUUCUCCAAAAAAAUUUUUGAGUCCUCCUAAGUAAACUUUAUAUUAAAUAACCCUUACCAUUCUAAUUUUUUUUAAGUAAAAAAGUUCGAAAGAGAAAAAAUACCAAAAUUCUUUAAAAAAAAUGCUUAUUCUAACGACCAUUUUUACACUUAAACAUCUCACUGCCUCACUUUCAAUUCUCCUAUGCCAACCUUAUAUUAAAUUUUCAUUACAUUCUAGCAACUAUGAAAAAUUUUUGGAAGAGGAAAAGCCAAAAUUCAUGAGAAAUUCAUAUAAAGUUUUCUAUAAACCAAUUGUUUAUAUAAAGUUUUCAUAUAAAUUACCCUCGUUAUUUCUAACAAUUGUUUAUGCAGAAACUUUGGAAAAAGAAAAAUCAAAAUCCAUAAAAAUUGGCUAUUCUACUAAUUGCUUUUUCACUCAUACACCCCCCUCUCUCCGACUUCAAUCCUCGUAUGCAACCUUAUUUUUAAAAUUUUUCUAGGGAAUAGGUUUAGAAAGUGAGAAGAGGCAAAGGAGAAUUUGAAUUUAGAAACUCUCGGUUCUCAAGUUUCAACUUUAGUCACUCGACUAAGACCUUCUCGACUUAUCUUUACUAUUCUAACAAUUAUUUAGGGAGAACUGUUCAAAAUAUUUUUUACAUUUCGCAAAAUGAAUUUUUUCUCCCUUAUGUUUAAAAUAUUAACUUUACAUCCCCUACAAAAUCAAGUCGGCCAAUUUUGGUUUUCAACUUAGGUUUCUGACUAUCUUUUAACCUGAAUCCAUCAUGUGAAUCCAUACGUAAUUGUUUUUUUGAUGUACAGAAAGAUUAAAUCACAUUUAUAAUUAAACAAAUUGCUUGACCUAUAUUCAUUUUUGCUGCUAAGAUAUAGUCAUUUUUGCACUUUAUCCCUAACAUUAUUUUUUCUCACUUUUUUGCCUAAACCAUUAGUCAAUUCUAACAUUGUGUAGUGGUAAUGUCAAAAAGACAUUUAUACCCCUAAGAGUUAACCACAGGAAAUCCCCUUAACAUAUAACUUGUUUUGGGUUUUAUUCCCAACAUUAUUUUUUCUCAAUUUGUUUGUUUGUUAGUAAAAUCAUUAGUGAACUCCAAUAUUUGAUAACACCCAAGACAAAUAAUCUCUAAACAAUUAAUAUUCCUUACAUAAUAAUGAAAAAAAUAAUAUUUUAUAAAUGUGGUCCUAGUUAAAUUUCAUUCCAUAAUCACUUUUUUUUUGGAUUGAGGAGAAUAUCUUGCUAAUUUGACAUAAUAAUAGAAAAUAAAAAUUUUUAUUGAAAAAUUAAAAUGUGAAAUAUAUUUAUAAGUUCAAAAUAGUCAAGAUAUUGUCAGUUUCUCUUUACAAUUGUGCAUAUGGCUAUACUUUUCUUUUAAUUGCUAGAUAUUUCUUUAUAUGAGAGUAUAUAUUUUUUCUGUUGGUAAUACUAAAAAAAGAGAGAAAUAUGGUUGAUUUGGGUUUCAAAGUUUCUUCUUUUUUUGUCAAAAGUUUCAAAGUUUCCAGGGUUGUUCUUUUAAUAUACCAUACCUAGAUGCUUUUAAAAUUUAUUUGGAUUGCUAAAUUUUUUUUAAAAAAAAUUCUUUUUGCAUCAUACACACGUCUCUCAAUCAUCACUUUAUUUUUUUCAACCACCUUUUUGCUUAACAAACAUCAAAUUGCAAAGUACUAUUAUUAUAAAAAAAUUUCCAAAUAAUUUCAAUCCAAGCAAUUAAUUUAAUUUUGUACUAUAAUUUUUUCCCUUAUCACGUGAAAUGAGCGGGAUAUUUUCUUUAUCUAAAAUCUAUAAAUAUAGGAUAAAAUUUACAAGACCAUUAUCGAUAUAUAAUAUUUUCACUAUUAUGUUAGGAAUAUUUGAUUUUUUAACAUUAGUUAUCUUGAAUGUACAAAAAAAAUUAGAGUUCACUAAUGGUUUUAAAGACAAUUGACAAAUUAAGAAAAAUAUUAGAGGAUAAAGUGCAAAUACGCUAUACCUUAAGGGGAUUUACUAAAUAACAUUAGGGACAAAUGCAAAACUAGUUAAACCUUAGGGGAUUUUUUAUAAUUAACCCCUAAAAGAAUGGGAUCUAAACUUUUGCACCUAAGAAAUAACCACGUGUAGGUAACAUGGUUGAUUCAGGCUAAAAGGUAGUCAGCAAUUUUAGGUUGGACCAAAUUUGACUGACUUUAUUUUGUAAUGGACGAAAGUUAGCAUUUUAAAAGUAAGGGACCAAAAAAAAUUCAUUUGACAAAUGUUAAGGACGUUUUGAAUGAUUUUUCAAUUAUUUAUGCGAAAGAAAUUUGGAAGAGAAAAAUUUGACAUUCAUAACAAUUUUUUUGCAAUCAACAUAUCUCUCCUCCACAUUUAUACUCCUAUUCCAACCUUAUAUUACAUUUGCCUCAUUAUUAACAAUUAUAGAGGCAAAAAAAAAAAAAGAACCAUCAAAUUGAUUAAAAAAGUUAAUAUUCUAACUAUUAUCCUUGCAGUUAACACCGUACCCCAAAUUAUGUUGGCAUGGUGGUAGAUUUGAUGUUGAACUAGUGUCUUGUGGUGUGGGCAGUGGAGGACUAAUGAUGAUGUCCAAAUUACCACCAGUACUCUAGUUGUUUUAGACAAAUCUGUGAUCAAAAUCGUUAUUUACGUCAAACAAAGUUGGGGUAUAAAUUUUGUCAAGUUCUGCCACAAUGAUAGUGACGAUAUUUUACAAGUUGUAAAAACUCAGAACUCCAGCUACAAGCGCAUAGGCUAUAAACAUGUAUAGGAGAAUCGAGAUCGAUCCCACAAUGAACUAUCAAAGCUGUAAAACUACUCUAUUAUUUACAUAAUUCAUAAGCUCAUGUGAAAUCAAAUCUAUUUAUAAAAUACAAGUACACGUUGCACAAAUUUGAUCAAAAAAUGAAAGUAAACAGUGAACAAUUAGAGACAAUUUCCUAGGAUUUUCAACUUCCUCACUUGUCAAAGAUUGGGGUCUAAUCCGACUAAUUAAAUUUUGAAUCAUGUCAUGCCAUGCAGCAAUUUUCAAAUAUAUUCAACAUUCAUUUUUGUUAGUAUACCAACUAUACAUAUAAUUAUUUCAUCUUUACUUUCGUAGUGUAAACUAGUUACGAGUUUAUUAAGAUUUGUGCGAUUGCUUGGUAAAUUUUACAAAGAAGUAUCUCUAUUUUUGUGAGUUUACAACCUAGGGUUCAUGCCUUUACUAUCUACCAUCGAAGCUCAACUUUCAUUGGUUAUACGAUACAUUAGAUGGUUUGUAAUUAACAGCCAGUUAAUCACAAAGAUAAAGCGCGAAAGCAUGAAUUGGCAGGUAGAUAUUUUCUAAAUAGUUAUGUAUUUCAAAAGAUUUUGUCCCACAUUGAAAAACCAAAGAAACUUCCAAUCAUUUUAUAAAUCUUAUCAUCUUAGGGCUUGUGGCGAGUUAAGAACUAGUAUGGGCUCACGCGCACAAGAGAGAAUUUGAGUUGGCUAAUCUAGAGUAAAUUGGUGGAUUUGCAACCCCCUUCCUGCGCAUGGGUUACUUGAAAGGAUAGAGUUCUAAUGGAUAAAAUUUCUCUACUCCUCAUUUCUCCUUUUCUCCACACCCUCUACUCUCCUCCGCCUCUACUGGUUUAUUACAUUUGCUGUUCCUAUUCCCUCUUAUUAACUAAAAGGCUUGUUUAAUUUUGAGAAACAUUUCAAGGUGUUGGUUUAUUACAUUUACUGCUCCUAUUCCCUCUUAUUAACUAGAAGGCUUGUUUAAUCUUGGAGAAACAUUUCAAUACCUUGAAAUAGUUUCUUAGAAUAGUGCUAUUUAGCACGACUCAAGUUUCUAUCCAUUUCAUUAUUAUUUUGUUAACAUUGUUCGAAUUAUUUCCAACAAUCUAAGAAGCUAUGUCUUCCGGUGAUGUUAACGCAUCCCAGCUAUCAUAUGCAUUAGGAGCAGUCAUGUUUGUGACGACCCCACCUCCCCUAGGGCGUACCCAUGGUUUCGCGGACCGCCUGCUCAACUCUCGCCAGAACUCAUUCACUCUUAACAAAUAAAAUAAGGUAUAACCUCAAGAAUAAAUGAAAUAAUAGUUCCCAAAUUUGGAACGUGUACUUACAUUCAUAUCUAUCUCAAACAUUCAUACAAACCCAAAUAUAACAAAAGUUGUGAAUUCCAAAUACAUACAACCCUAACCGAGCACUAGCGCGAGUACAAUCGCAAAAAUUCAAAAACUAGACUAUGAUAGCCUGUACCAGUCUCACGCCCUCGCUCGUAUCCCCUGUAAGGAAAAUAAAACUAAACGAAUGAGUUAAAAGCCCAGUGAGGUUCCCAAACAAGUAAUCAAGCAAUUGAAACAAGGACAUUAGUCAUUUAAUAACAAUCAAUCGAGAAAACAUUCGCAAUAUAAAAGCAAUGAGAACACACUCAUUAAAAGGAUACAUGCUUACGUGGAGCCAUUCGUUCAUUCAUUCGCCAACCAUUUUCCUUAUCCCUCCAAUAUUAAAAAACAUUUGCAAGUGAAAACUCCUUCAGUGUUUUUGACACUCAUUCAUUGAUUUCAUUUUCCGCCACUAGCCAAUUCACUGGUCAGUUGUCCCAAUCUUCAUGAUCAUACUCGAGUAUACCAAAACACUGUUCCACAGUCACCAACCGCCUGACCGAGUCCGCUUCUGGCUCGAGUCGGCUGGCAACGAACGGCAAGGGCCCAAUUCAGCCACAAGGCUUACAUUCAUGCACAAGUAGCAUUCAAUCAUUUAAUCAUUGAAAAUUUCACGUUCACUUAGGUCGAGUGCAAUAAAGUACACACUCGCCUAUUGAAAAUUCAUUUAACAUUCAACCAAACAUUCACAACAAUCCACAUAGUCAUUGGAAGCACAACAUACAAAGAACACUCACUAAUAUGAGCAAGAGAUAUGUCAAAAGUUUCCUUCCGGGUUGUACUCCGGAUCACCAAAGAAACCUAGAUCAGUCAAAACAAAGGUAUUAUGGUUCAACUAAUCAAAAUCUAGAUGAACCAUCAAAAAUUCAGAAAUUACUUGUGCAAAUAUGAAAAUACAGUUUUAGAGUGAAUAAUAACAUUUGAACUUCCAAGUCACGAAAAAUCUUGAGUCGUUUCUCAAAUUCAAACAUAACGAAAGAAAAUUCCAGGAAUCAGUAGUUAAAAACAACCAAUCUCAAAUUGAAGUGAGUAAAUGUAAUUCAAAGUUUUCGAGAGAAAACUAACACUUUUCAUCUUAGUUGAUACCAAAUCUUGGUCAAAAACAACUCAUAUACUACUAUUGAAGUACAUUCAAGGAUACAUAUGUAACUUAAGAUCCAACUAAUCCUAAAAUCAAAUCUUACAUCUCACUAAUAUGUAUAAGAGCAAGUAAUAGAAUGUUAUUUAAUACUCCAAAAAGUCGUACCUUUGAAUAUGACGACCCCACUUCUCCUUAGGGCGAACCCUAGAGUUUCGGCGAGCCGUCUGCCUAACUCUCGCUAGGACUCACUACGAGCCAAAUAUAUAACUUCGAACUACCCAACCAACAAGUUACUAAUAUAUAGAAGAAGUCACUUCCUUCAAAAUGUCAUUCAUCAACUACACCAUAAUAUUCCAAAAUUACAUCAAGCAUCCCAAAUUACAACUAUCAAAAGAUCAAUUAAAUCAUUUACAUCCAUAACUAGACCAAAAUAUAGUCAAGGCCAGCGUCUCAAAAAAUCUCUCCACUUCAAAAUCGUGUUAAGGAAAUCAAAUUUAAAGGAGUAAGCUAACGUUCAGUGAGGCCAAGAAAGAUAGGCAAGCAAACAAGUACAACUAGCAUUGAUAAAGUAUAAAUCAAGAAAGGCAACAAUGAUAUUGACGUAAAAAUUCACAAGAGAAACAAAAACACUAUCAAUAAAGGAUACAUAAACUCUCAGGAGCUAAAUCCACAAUUCAUGCUAUGCCGGUACCUUUGAACCACGGUUUCAAAUCCGUAGAAUUCAUUUGACACGAAUCCCCAUCCACCAUUUCACCCUCUACCGGUACCACACGUCCACAAGGGUUUUGGUGAUACUCGAGUAUACCCACGUAAGAACAAGUAUGCUUCACUCAAGUUCAAGCAAGUACAAGUUUAUUCAAGAAAGGGAGGACAAGUAUGAUAAAGUACACCCUUGCCUCAUCAAGUUCAAUAUUUAACACAUAACACGUGGUAUCAUUCAAAUUAAAAUAUCAAGAAACAUGCACUUGGCACUCACCACAACCAAAAGCAAACGAGCAAGCAAGUCCUUUACGGUUCUGUGCUGAAAUUCCCUUUGAAAUUCUCUUAGACACUUGAAGCAAUUUCAACCAAUAAUCACGAAAUGCAAACCGUCUUUAGCCAAACCCCCCUCCCCCUUUAAACCAUCACUCAUGUACACCCUAAGUUACUUAGCACACAAGGAGGAAAAAUUCAUUCACUUAAUCAUCUAAAACAAUACAUCGAGAAGGGUCUAAAUCCUUCGAAUAACACCAUUCAAAAUGAGGGGUUAAAGUCACAAGAGACCCUGUAUCCAUCCAUGAAAUCAAACUUAAAAUGAACUAACAAUUUCAAAGGAAAGUUGGAAGUUCUUAAAAGAAACCAGAAAAUUCAGCUUUCUGCAACACUACUUGAAAAAUCAUAUCUUGAGUUCUGUAAAUCCAAAAAUUGCAAACUUUAUACCGUUGGAAACUAGAUUCAAAGGACUACAUUUUUUCAGAAGACACAUUUGUAAGAAUUUGUCCACAAAUCAGUCAAAUUCCAGUCUCAAUUUCCUACUUCAUCAGGUAGAAAAACAGAACAGGUGUGAAAUUUCAGUCAAUUUUAGAAAAUCAUAGAUAUUCAUAAGAAUUGAGAAAAUUUCUGAAAUUUUCACUGUAGAAAGUACUCUGAAUCUAGUUUCAAACGCAAAAGUAGAACUCAAUUUGGAUUUUUCUACACCAAGAUACGAUAGAUUUCCCAAAACUGCUUAGAGUCUCCUGUUAGAAAAAUUUUCAGCAACACUUGACCCAACCUUCUCACUUAAGCUCAUGUUUUUUUGCUCAAAUCCAACUUGCAAUCAAAGUUUAAUGUCUACAUAGUUUGUGGAGCAAAAUUUCCCCCAAAAUUUCUUGAAAAAUAAGGGCUAACAACACUCAAAAAUUUCGGCCAGCAUGAAGCUUUCAAAACAGAAUUUUUCCACCACAAUUUGCAACAAAAUCCUAAUCUUUCCAAGAAAUAUACACACGAGCCAUAAUAUCAAGCUUUAAAGCACUAAAAUCUAUCAACAAAAUUUAUCAUAAAAGCACAAGAAUGAAUCUCAAGUCCUCUACCUAGCUUGCCAUGGAGACACAAUAAAAUUUUCCUCAAGUCCUCUACUUAAAUCAAGAUUUCAAAGAAACCCAUCAAAGAUUUAAUCUUUCAAGCUACAAGUCUACUAGAAUCUAGUCCACAAUUGCUUGAAAACAAAAGAGUGAAGUAGAUUAGUCACUUACCUCUUCAAAGUUUCAAACCCUAGCAAGAUUAACUCAAGGUGAUGGUAAGAUCAACACUUAGGAGCCUCUUUCUCUCAAGAUCUUCCAAAGGUGCAAGUAGAUUGGUGGAAGGAAAGUUUGGAUCUUCAAAAUUUUCAAGAAGGAUGAAAUUUCUCUCCCUCUCUUCCUCUCUCAAGUUUCGGCCAACCAAGAAGAAAAAAUGAAGGUCUUUUGGUUGUUUUUGGAGGUAAUAUACAAGCCACAAGAAGGAUUUGUAAGGUCAACUUUGAAUAGUGUCCAAUAGUGUCUUCCACUUAAGCUUUCUUACUAUCCACCCUUAGCUCCUCUAACCUUCUUUUAACUCCCAAAAUCUUUCUUAACUUUACUAAUGUCUCAACUUAUAUUCUCCUAGGGUUUCGGCCAAAUUCACCAAUAAGUCGCAAAAUCAACAAUUUUCAAGAAUUUAAUCGCUCGAAAGUUAAAAUGAGCAAGUAAGAGAAACUUUUUUAUCAAUUAACAAUUAAAACACUUAAUGAAUGCAAAUUUUGCAAAAAUAUAAAUUAAAUAGAAAUGCAAAUAGUUGGGAGGUGAGAAAAUAAUUUUGCUGGGUCAUCACAUUGAAGACUGCAAAACAUAAUAAAUCAUUAGUUAGAAAUAUCAAAAUCUUUUAUGCUAUGUAUAGUGUCAUUUGGAUAGUGUGGCUAUUCAACCAAAACAAAUAAAAAUUUAAAAAAAUACAUUAUUUAAAACAAGCAUAAUAUCUAGAUAUAUGUCAAUAUCUAUGUAAAAUAAUUACUUCCAAUAAACUAUGAUACUGCAUAUCAUACUCAAUAGGCAUUACAUGGGCAGCUCGCGUGCAAGCUAAUCAAAACAAAUAAAAAAAUUAGAAUCGUAAUAUAAAAUAGUACACUAGUAAUUAGUUAGUAAAGUGGUAACAAAACAAAACCUCAUCAUAUAAUAACACUGGUGGCGUUACAACUAUACUACUUGAAAAACUUUAGUCCCUAUAUUCUUUUUCUGGUAUCCUUUUAUGAACUACUCUUCAAUCCCUUACUUGAAAUAAUUUUAAUCUUUAUUGUAAUACCCUUAAUCUUGAUAUAGUUGUAUCUGCAAUAUUGGAAACCUUUGUUACACUUGAAAACAUAUUGAUUAACUUCUUAUCAUGUACUUUUUCACUAACUAAAUUCAGCAUUUUUAUAGGUCCUUCUUAGCAAUUUUAUAGGACUAUUCUAUCACUGCAAUAUAUAGAAUCUGUACAAAUCUUUAUAUUGCUUUGUAAAGAGUACUUUUCAAUUCAAAUCAUCAUUGAUGGUACCAAAAAAUAUUGUCAAUCUUGCUUUUGCUUUGUUAAUCCAUCUCUUUAGUAUAUACUCCCUCCGUCCCAAUAAAUUUGACGCUCUUCGAAAACCAUGUCUUUUAUCAACAGUCACCUGAUUUUGCUUGGUUUCCUUUCGUAUCUCUAUUCGUAGCUAGUUUAUGGUGAAAGAAUGAAUGCAAUUGUGGGCUCUUAAUUGCUUUGUUAAUCUAUUGAUAACCAUUUGAAGUGUACGUAGCUUCACACCCUAGAGUUGUCAUUGUUUCCUGCAAAGAACGCUCGCUAUUUUAGCAAUUUUGGUAAAGAUGAGAUGUAUCACUUGGGACCCAUAAUAAUUAUUAAAACCUCUCUUGACCAUGUGAACAAAGGGCAAUGCUUGGAAAGAUACUAAAGUUAUUUAUCCAAUUUUAGUAAGAUGACAUAAUUUUGGAACGGACCAAAAAGGAAAAUAUAACACUUUCAAUGGGAUGGAGAGAGUAUUGAUUAAGGACUUUGAAAAUGUUUAUUGCAUUAAGAACUUUCAAAGAGUAAGAGCACAAAAUCCCAAAGAAUUCAUACCUUUUGCAAUUAUAAGAAAUCUGAUCACCUUCUGAAUCAAAUCUAAUAACAUGGUGGUACUUCUUGUUUUCGGGAAUGAUUCUAUAUUCUAUUAUUGUUUCAACUUUGCCAAAGAUAUCUAAACUACAAUCAUGAAAUUUGCCCUACUCAACUUCAAAUCAAAUGAAAACUUUAGAAGUGUAAACACAGGUAACUUAUUUCACAAUAUCAAUAUCAAAUGGUAAAAGUAGAGCGUUAGUUGUAAGGAAUCAUAGAGACAUGUACAGAGAAAAAUUUUAAAAUUUUUUAUUCCUUUAAUAGAUCGACCUCUGAUUAAACCUGUGUAAUAUAGAGUUAUUUAAGAAGAUUAUCUCAAUUCAUGGAGAUCUUCUUGAAUCAAUGGAGAUCUGACACAGAGGGGGCAAGUGAUCCAUAGAGCCACACAACUCUCUAACCUGGAAUAGUGAUCUAUGCAAACCUCUUUAGCUAGAACCUCUUUAGGUCGAAUUAGUUUAAACUAGAUUAGUGCUAACUAUUGCCAACACACCUCCCACAAGUUGGUUGAGAAAAACUCCAGUUUUUCACCAUGAAAAACUUGCCCCAGUAAGAGAAAUAAGAGAUGUGAUUUUUUUCUUAUUUUCUUGGAUGAAUUUUGGGAAUUUUCUCUCAAUUUUCUCAAAAAUUUCACAAGGCAAUUUAUGUAUCAAUUAGUCUUGCUAGCAAAAGUUUUUGUGAAUAUUUAUACACAAAUAAGUUGUCCAUAUCCUUAUGAAAACUUGAAACCAUUAAUACAACUCUUGUAUUUGAAAGAAUUAAACUUAUUUAUAAUAUGAAUCCCUCAAGUUUAAUUUAUCUCACAAAUUAAAUUACAAGUUAUAAAAACUUAUCUAUCAAGUCCUUAUUUGAAAUUCAUUUAAUCUAGUUAAAAAGUUCUUAAUGUGUGUGACCAUUAGAUUCUCAUAUAUGUUGGCAAUAGGUAUGAAUUAUAAUUCUUAAUAAAUAAGAAUUAGAUAAAUUCAAACUCCUUUUAAUUUAUCAUUGAUUCCACCAAUCAAUCAACUCAUACUUAUAGAUCAAGAUUGGUAUCUAGCAAUGUAUCAUGACCAUCCAAGCAAUGAGAAAAGUCAAGUGGAUGACUUUACCUUUCAGUUUUCGUGUAAUUAAUAUCCUUUUACCAUAAUUAUCUCACAUUAAUUUUGGAAUAAAUUGUGCCUAUUUCAAUAUGUGAUUAAUGUUCAUUUCUUGUACCAAAAUAUAACUCCAAUGAAGAAGUAUUUAGAAACACUAUCUAAGACUCGUUCACUUUGUGCUAAAAUUCAGAAUUAUACUUCUACAAGUGGCCAGACACGAGAUAACUCCUCUUUCAUAAGAGGUAAUAAAUCCUUAUAGGUUUAUUCACCAUCUUUCCAUACUUCAAGUAUAUUCCCAUUUGCUAAUGAUGUGAGCAUUCCCUAUUACAAGAGCAAUCAUAUAAGAAAUAAAGUAUAAUCGUCCGUAUUCAAGAUACCAUGAUAAUCUUAAGUCUAAGAAUCACCUACACAAAUGUCACUUACACAUUAAUCCUUUGGCACUUAAAGGGUAUCUCUAUGUGGAUCAAUCUAAUGAAUUUGAUCAUCCUAUCAAGCACCCAUACACUAGUUUAUAUGUCUCACACACCAUGGUAGAUGAAAUCUACUACUUCACAUAUAAAAGUGGCAUAAUAUAUGCUAAUCUAACCAUAUUAACAAUGAUCUUUCUUGUUAAUACUUUGACUAGAGAUACUUAAGAAUAAAUCUUGUCUAUAAUUGAAUGAAUCUAACCAUCAUAACUCUUAUGAUUUUGUCUAUUAGGUUUACUCUAAGGGAUUUAUCAUACUUAUAUAAAUAUGUAAACAAUUAAUAUGAUAAAGAUAUCAUUUAUUAUAACAUAAAUAGCUCAAGUGCAUAUUAAACCCUAAAACUUGAUUGAUUUUAAGGCAUAUGCACUUUCAAUCUCCAACUUGCACUAAAACUAAUCACUCAUAAGUCGAAGACCAAAUGAACCUACAUGACCAUCAUAUUUCCUUUAAGAUAAAUUUUAGCAAAUGGAUCAAACAUGGCAUCAUCUAUGGGUACUCUUUCUAUCUUCACUUUGUUCUUACCAAUAAUUUCACCAAAUCAUGUAGUAGCACCUUAACAAGUCUAUGGAUUUAUGAAGAGACUUUGGUUCCUUUGCUAAGGCAAAUUUUCAUUAUUGUCACAAUAUAGGAUAAAGGACUUAAAAUGGAGAGAACCAAUCCAAGUUCCUAGUUGAACUUGCAGAGCCAAAUGCUUCCCUUUUGCCACUUCUCAAGCAGCAACUUGUUAAAAUCUAAUUGUAAAAACUUUAGUUGUGUUCGCUUAAAACUCUUUCAACACACAACACCAAUAUUAUAAAUAAAUGCACAAUUACUUACAAAUUAUCUUAUCUUUAUAAGAUAGUUUGCUUGCAUAAUCUCGAACUUCCAAUCUUAAUUCUUCAUGGACCAAAGGAGACAAUAAAUCUAGUACAUUAAAAGGAUUAUUUCAUACAAUAUAGAUAAAACCCUUUUUAGAUCAUUUCAUGUUAAACGUCUUUAACAUCUUAUCUAUGUACUUUGAAAGGCUUAGCAAUCAUGAUCUAUUACUAUAGAUCUUUUCUCCUAAAAAGAAAAUUGCUUCUCCUUAAUAUCAUGGAGAGAAUCUUGGAUAGUUAUAUCUAUAGUUUUGGAGUAUAGGUAUACCUUUUUCAUGUAUCAUAUGACAACCACAUAUAUAACAAGGAAACUAUAAUAGCUCCCACUAUAUUAUACAUUAACACAAGACCAAUCCAUAUUUUUGAUAAAAUCAAACUCUUUGAUUAUUUCAUUAAAACGGAUGAUACAACUCUUGGAGACUUGCUUUAUUGGUAUAUAAGAUGUAGAAACCACUAAAUUGUAUCACAUACACAAAUAUUUAUUGUUUCCAUUUAAGAAAAGUGGUUUUAACAUCUAUUUACCAUGCUAUAUGACAAGUAGAUAUUUUACGUAUUUUUAGUGUGUUUAUUAGUUAAUUUUGGUGCGUUUUAUCUAGUUUUAUAGUUAAUUAACUAGGGUUUUGGUCAACAUAUGCAUUUAGUGGUUUAAUUGGCAAAAAUUGCAUUUCUAUGGAUUUUAAUGGUAAAACUUCAUGUUUUUGUAGAUUUAAGGAUUCAAUCAUCAAUUGGAGUGAAUUGAGAAGAGAAUUGGAUGAUAAUUGAUGAUUUGAAGUGGUUUAAAGAAGACAUGAAGUGCAAAACAUUCAAAUGAAGAAAUGCAAGGGAAGAUAGUUUUGACACAUCGUCGUAUUUCGGCUAUAUCUUGAGCUACAUAUAUUGGAUUGAGGUGAUCUUUAUACCAUUUUGAAGCUAAAAGAUAGAUCUACAUUUGAUAUGAAAAUGGCUAGGCCGCCAUUUCCGUUUCCGUUUUGCCGUUUCCGCACUUACAUGUGCCGAUUUUACCGUUUUGCUUGUUUUAGGCAUAUUAGUAGCCGUUUAUGGUAUUUUGUGACGCAAUCUUCUAUUUCAGACGGUGGUGAGCUACGUGGAGCCGGUGGGGCCUACUAGCUACUCUUCGCGGCACAAAUUUCGAAUUUUACUCUUUUGCUCGUUGUGUAAGUAUUCAGGCCGCUUUUACGUGUUAGUUGUUUAUGUGUUUUGAUAAGUAUGAAAAUGGUACCUAGGCGAGGGUGUACUUUAUCGCACUCGACCUAAACCCUAGUUUGCGCACAUAUUUGUACAUGGCUUGUGUAUAUGAGCAAUUUUGGAACUAAACCCCUUGAGCUUGUGGCUCGGGGUGACUUUUGAAAACAUUUUGUGAAGUUUGUGAGUUUGGGGCCCGAUCUCAAUCCUAGAUGGACUAUUGGAGCCGGUUAGGGCUUGGUCGAAGUCAGUCCAACCUGGUUUGAGGUCACCAAGUUUGUGAAUCCGGUUCACCGAUUAUGUGGACCAAGUUUGUGAACCGAGCUUGUGAACCAAGCUCAAUUUCGUUCGCUCGAGCAAGUUUGUGAGGUGCCUGGCCAGAGAGGGUGAUAAGGUGUACGGUGGGAGUAUAAGUGAAGUUCUACGGACCAUUAUUUGAGGUCGACGGAGUGUCGGCAGGAGGUCACACACGGCAAACGAUCUGGCUUUGGAGCCACCUGUAUCCUUAUUAUGUGAUGUUAUUUUUCUGCUUUUGCUUUACUCUUACUGUGUAACUGUUGUACGUGAAAUUUAUGCUUUCGCCCCUGUUUACUUACUAAGCAUAUAGCUUACCCCUUCCCUUUUGUUUUCCUUAGCAGGGGCCGACGCGGGGACUUUUGGCACGUACCCUAGCAUAGUUAGGUUUGAUUGUAAUAGUUGGACAUAGUAUGUUUGUUUUUGUUUUAGUUUUGGUGGUUUGUAUAAGGACCCUCCUUAGGGUCUACAUUUUGGUUUUGAUUGUAGUGAUAAGGAUGUAAUAGUGUGAGCAGGUACUUUUGGAGAAUGUAAUUAGAACUUUUGGGGAUUGUAUAUAAUGUAUAUAGUGCUCUUUCGAUUUCUCUAGUUUAUUACUUUAAGUUUUGAGUCCUGGCGCGAGCUAGGCAGGCGGCCCGCCGAUACCCUUGGGUUCGCCCUUGGGAGAAGUGGGGUCGUCACAUAGUUCAAGGGGUGGAAGAGUAAAAGAAGUUACUUCGAAUUUGAAGUGAGCACUUCACACUAUCCUUGUAGUUGUGACAACAAGUAUUUUAUGAAUUGGAAUGUUAUUUUACUAUAUGAAAAUUCGGAUCAUAUAUGCUAUUUUGAAUGGAACCUGUAUCGUGAUAUGCUCACUAUGAAAUGUGUUAUGAAAUAAAAUGAUACUAAUGUAAUAGACCAUUUAAUUAUGAUCCUGACUACACUCGACAGGACCAGGCCCAACUAUUGUGAUUAUGAAUGCGAAUUCGAACUAUCACGUUUCCCUAGUGGGGGUUAAACACUAGGCUGUGUACACAGAGACCGAUGAAGGCAUGAUCCUCUAAUUAAGUUAAAGCUUUUAUUUGGUGAUUGUUAUGAAUUUGAAUUUGAUGCAUAACUGUGUUUGCAAAUUUGAAUACAAGCCUAUGGUUCUUUUGUAACAGUUGGAGCUAUGAAUAUGAAGUAUGAAUUGUGUUGUGUGAGUGCUAAAUUAUAUGUAUAUGUAACGUGUAUGAUCUGGCAGGGAUAGUAGGUAGUACUUGCUGAGCUUGCAAAAGCUCACCUCCCCUUCUCACCCCAUUUUGCAGACAACGAUGGAGAAUAUGAGUUAGUGCUCGUGGAAGAAGAGGAAGAAUAGAUGGCCAAUGGUUGGAUGUUGUUAUAGUGGUCAAGCUUAUGAGUUUAGAAGCGGGGAUUUAUUUUUUUUAUAAUCUAGUCAUGUCUGAGGGAUUUUAAUAUGUGGCAUUAGUCCACAAGUGGACAAGUUUGACUUUUGUUUUCAUGAUUCGUUUACUCCUUAUGCUAGUUGAUGUAAAGCGUGGUUCUAUUGGAUUUUUUUUGGAAAGCAUAUAUCCCAGGUGUUGUUUGCAAGGUUGAGUAGUAAAGUAAGAUGCCUUGUGAGACUCCAGGGGGGGUUUACUCCUUGAGUUUCACGGCGUGUUGCAUUCCAAAUCAGGUGGUCGAUUUGGGGCGUGACAAACAAUGUUCCAUUCGUUAUAGUGAGGUGUGUAUUAGUCUCAACUGGGGUAUAAUUGGACUCAUCAUUAGUUAAGCCAACCCAAGCAACGAGAUCAAAGAUAUUUGGCUCGGAAUGGAUGACAACUAUUUGAAUGUGUGUAUGCCCUAAACUUAAUCAACUUCUAGGGUUUAGUAUGCAUUUGAUCUAUUUAUGUUAUAAUAAAUGACAGCUUUAUCAUAUUGAUUACUUAUAUAUUUAUAUUUGUAUGAUAAAACCCUUCCCAAUCAAUGAAAUCAUAAGAGUUAUGAUGGUAAGGUUCAUUUGACUAUAGAUAAGAUUUAUUCUUAUAUAUCUCUAGUCAAAAUAUUAAUAUGAAAGGGCAUUAUUAUUAUGAUUAGACUACCAUAUAUUAUGGCACUUCUAUAUAAGAAGUGGUAGACCUCAUUUACUGAGUAUGUGAGACACCUAAACUAGUAUAUAGGUGUUUGAUAGUAUGAUUAAAUUUAUUAAAUUGAUCCACAUAGAAAAAUCUUUUUUAAGUACCAAAGGAUUAAUCUCUAAGUGACAUUUAUGCAAGUGAUCUUUAGAUUUAAGGUUAUUGUAGUAUCUUGAGUAUGGAUAGUUAUAUCUUAUUUGCUAUAUGCUUGCUCUCAUAAUAGGGAAUGCUCAAUCAUUCUCAUAUGAGUAUAUACUUGAAGUAUGGAAAGAUGGUAAAUAACCUAUACAGAUUUACCAUCUCUUAUGGAAGAUAAGUUAUCUCAUAUCUGGCCACUUGUAGAAGUAUAAUUCGGAAUACUUAGUGCUAAGUGGAAGAGUCUUAAAAAGUGUUUCUAAGUACUUUUUCAUUGGAUUUAUAUUUUGGUACAAGAAAUAAGCAUUAAUCAUAUACUAAAAUUGGCACAACUUAUUCCAAAAUUAAUGUGAAAUAUGUGUGGUAAAAAGAUAUUAAUUACAUGGUAAAUGCUCACUGAAAGGUUAAGUAAUUUACUUGACUUUACUCAUUACUUGGAUGAUUAUGAUGAAUUGUCAGAUCCCAAUUUUGAUCUAUAAGAAUGAGUUGAUUGAUUAGUGGAAUCAAUGAUAUUCUUAUUUAUUAAGAAUUGUAACUCAUGCUCAUUGCUAACAUACAUGAGAAUUUAAUAAGUUACACACAUUAAGAACUUCUUUAACUGGAUUAAAUGAAUUUCAAGUAGAGAUUUGAUAGAUAAGUUUUUAUAACUUAUAGUUUAAUUUGUGAAGCAAAUUGAACUUAGGAGACAUAUAGUGCAAAUAAGUUUAAAUCUUCCAAAUACAAGAGUUGUAUUAGAAUAAGAAAGCUAAAUUAUAUUAGAAAUUGGUUCUGGUUUCUAUGAUAAUAUGGACAUUUUAUUUAUCUAUAAAUACUCACUAAACUUUUGUUAACAAAACUAACCCAUAUACAAAUUAUCUUAUAAGAUUUUUUUCAAAAAUCUUGAGAGAAAAAUAUCCAAAAUUUGUCCAAGAAAUAAGAAAAAAACGUGUCUCUCAUUUCUCUCACCUGUGCGGGUUUUCCUAGUGAAAACUUAGGGUUUCUCUCAUACGAUUUGUAUAAGUUGUCUUAGUCAUAAUUAACACUAAUCUAGUUUAAGUUAAUUUGAUAGGAAGUUCUAGUUAAGGAGAUUCGUGUAAAUUACGUCAGAGGUUGGACAUUUGUGCGGCUACAUAGAUCACUCUGCUCUACAUCAAAUCUCUACCGGUGUUAGGAGAUCUUCAUGGGUUGACAUAAUUUAUUUAAAUUAACUUUAUGUCACAUGAAUUCAAUCAAAAUACGAUAUGCUAAAGGAGUAGAAAAUUUUAAAUUUUUCACUAUGCAUGUCUCUAUGAUUCCUUACACUAUUACCAUGAGAUGAUACCUCAAGACUAGCGAAAUAGUUGAGAGAUUCAAAAUCGCUCAUUUCAAAUGUUGAAUAAAAUAUUGCUUAAGUUGCUGAAUACCACCCAAAUUAUCACCUGUGAUAAUUAUAUCAUCAACCGAUGGAAGUAAAACAUAGUCUUGCAUGUUGUUUGUUGAAUGAAAAGAGCAAAAUCAUAAGAAUUGGAAGCCAAGCCUUAAUUAAGAAGUGCAUAAUUAGAUUUUGCAAAUUCAAUAUGAGCAGCUUGUUUAAGUAUAUGUAAUGCACAACGAAGGCAAUAGUUGGAAUACUGCUUGAGUUGGCAUCUCUCCACCUUCACCACAUCCAUGCACUUGGCGCUCCUACUGCAUUGUCCAUAUGGCAUUUUGGACUUCUCAUGUUGGGCGUAAAAAUUUAUUUUCUAAUGAAAAAUUAGGAAUAUAAUGUUACGUCUCAAAUUUGGGUCCAUAAACUAAAUUUGUAACGUGGCACGCCGUACUUGCAAGACCUUACUCCCACAAAUACAAUGCAUCAUGAUCAUAAUUUAUAAAAUUUAUUAAAAUUUAAAUUUAUAAUUUCUCCAUAAUGAUAAGGUCACUAGUCUUAACAUUAAUAAAUAUUUAAAUCUUCAGUGCUAUUCUAAAUAAUCCUACCUAGAAAAUUUCAAACUCUUAAAAUUUAAUACACCCAUCAGACUAUUCAUCUCUCUCUUAUCUUCAAACAUGCAUGAUAUUACUUUCUAGAUUUGUAAGAAAAAUAUUUAAAAAAAUAUAAGUUUAAUGAUAUACGCUUUGACUCAGUAAGUAGUGCUUACACCCCUACUGAAUCAUAUAACUAUAUACAUACUAUAUAUUUAUAAACUUGGUCACAUAAUAUUGCAUGCAUAUCCCAAUUUGAAAACAUUGGCAUCAUUUCGUAAUCAUUAAGAACUGAAUUGCAUAAAACACAUAACAUAACAUGAACAUGAUCAUGGAAAAUCUUGGUAAAUCAUGUAACAUGUCUAUAACAUCAUUUAUUCUUAUAACCAUAUAGCUCAUAAACAAGUAUAUACUAUAUCCGCCUUCUAAAUAUCCAACCUUUAAAUUAACUCCUUCUAGGAGGGCGACCAAGAAGUAUUGCGAACACUACUUGACCACAUAAAACAACAUGAGUGAAAGGCUAGACAUACUGCUCCAAUUGACUAUACAUAAACGUAACAAACUAUAGCCCCUGCUAUCUAUUUUAUAACUGUUUAAAGCUUAAUAUAACAUAAAUUCAUUUUGUAUAUCAUAUGCACAAUCAUUUUAUUUGAUUAAACAUGCCUCUCAUUCAUAUCUUGUAAUAAAAGAAAUAGAGUCAAUUAGACCUACAUGAUCCAUUUUUAUAUACUAAUAAUAGGAUUUUAUAAGAGAAAUUCAUAAUUUUGGUAUUUGAAAAAUAUAUAAGUACCGCCUAACUCAAAUUACUCGCUUGAAGAUAUCUUAACUUACCUUAAUCUUGCUUUGUAGCGACUUGCUUCAUAGCAAAUCACAUAUGUACCUUGAUUAGUUCAUAUCUCUACUCUUAACAUAUUUAUUCCUAUCUUAAAUAAUCCUUAAAAAAAAAAAAUUUAAACCUUCUAUAAAUAGUACUUGAAAAGAUUUCUCUUUCUGAAAAGUUUCAAAAUUUAGAAAAUUUCCUUUUUGGGAAGGUUCGGCCUUUUGGGCAGACUUCCCUUUUUAGAAAUUGUCUUAAUUCAAUUAACCUAUUUAUUUGUUUAUUUAUUUAUCUAUUUAAUUGUUUAUUUAUCAGUUUAUGUAUUUAUUUAUCUACUUUUGUACAAACAAGCCCAUAUUAGUUGGGUUGGAUCUAAGUUCAGGUUUGGCUCUAAGACUAAGCCUAUCCAUGAAAUAGAUUUAUUUUUUGUUCAACUUGGGUUUAGAGAUUAAUUUGGACUUUUAAAACUAUUCCUAAUCCUAUAUUUAUUUGGCAACAUUGGAUUAUUUAAUUAAAAAUGGGUUUUUCUAAAACAAAAAUAUAUUGGGCUAGACCUAUUAAAAUAAAAGUCGUAAUAAGGGCAAAAAACCUUGUUAGUCAUUAAACUAUUUUCUACAUUAACUUUUGACCAUAAAAAUAUUUUUGUCUCAAUUCAAUCACUUAACAAACUAAUCAAUAUAUUCAUGGUUAUUUCAUCAGAUUUUACUCUUAAUUUACAAAAUAAAAUGAACACGCACAACUCAUGUGUCAAAACCUAUGAGUAUGUCCACUGAAUUUCUUGAAUCUAAUCUAAAAGCCCAAACAGCCACUAAAUUAUUCCGCUUGUAUACUUUUGGCUACUCAAAUAUUUUUUAUUUUAAUAUAGUCACUAAACUCUUAAAUCGGUAUGCUCUUGGUGAUUCCAUCAAAAUUUUUUUGGUAGGCAUGAAAUUUUGUCAUUAAUGCUAACAAAAUGAGCUCCAUGUGCGUUUCAUGUGCCACAAAAUAGGGGCAAUUUUUAGGUUUUCUUCCAUCUAGAGUUUUAGAUUUUCCAAUUAACAAGAAUUAAAAUUUAGAAUCUAUAAGAGUUUCUUUAAUAGAUUCUAAUUUAUAAUUUUUGACAGAAAAACUAAAUUAUAUACUCAAAUUCUUGUGAAUUAUUUGCAAGAAUCCUGAAAUUAAAUGAAAAUAGUAGACAAAAUUGGAAUAAAAGAUUGCUAACAGUAUACUGUUUGUAUAGUUCAAUGGCUAUUUAAAUUUUUGUCUCAUUUAUUUGGACAAAAUUAUCCAUGGUCUUUGGCAUGUGCAUUUGAGUAGUGCACAUGAAACUCAUUCUGUUAGAGUUAACACUGAGUUUGGAUGGAAUGGCUACUAUUAUACACAUUUGUGAGUUGAGUGGCCAUUUUGAAUCAAAAAGUAAUUGAGUGGUUAAAAAUAUACAAGCACAAUAGUUUAGUGGCCACUAAGGAUUUUUGCCUUCUGGUUGAGAAGUUUAGUGGACAUAUUUACCAUUAAAUUUGGACAUGUGAAUUGCACGUGUUUGAUUUAUUUUGUAGAUUAAGAACAAAAUUUGACAAAAUAGCUACGAAUGUACUGAUUAGUUAGUCGAGUGAUUAAAUUUGAACAAAAAAUAGUUUGAUGGUCAAAAGUAGAUGUAGGAAAUAGUUUAACAACCUGCAAGAAUUUUUGUUCUCCUAGUAAUAAAACUUGGGUUUUAAUAAUCGUAUUGGGUUUCAUGAUUUUAGGCUCAAAUAAUAGGCACGAAAUAAAAUAUUAUAACUUUGGUUCUUAAAGCCUAGAAAAUAAGUUUUAUUUCAUUUGUUUAAAAACUUUAUAGGCCCAAUAUGUGACAGCCCCACCUCCCCCUAAGGCGAACCAAAGGGUUCGGCGGACCGCCUGCCCAACUCUCGCCGGGACUCACUGCAGUUCUCAAAUAAAAUUACAUCACUCACAUCCAAUAACAUAGGGUACAACCUCAAUAAUAAACGAAAUAACAUUUCCCAAGCUUAGAACGGAUACUUACAUACAUUACAAAUCUCAAGUAGUGGUACAAUUCUCCGAAUAAAACCAAAAGUUCUCAAUUCUCAAAUCAAUUACAAUUACAAUAUCAGUCUCAAAUAUUACAUCAAAUACUCAUCAAGUAAAUCGAAUUCAAAUUAUACAUGAGAUAACCCUUCAGACACACUAAUAACUUAUCACAUGCGCUUCCUUUGUCUCGAGCCCUGUGGAGGGGGAAAAAAUAUAUUUUGGGGUGAGUUAGAAGCUCAGCGGGUAUCCAGUAAAAAUCAAUAAUCAAGUACAUUUCACAAUAAUGCAUUUAGAUGAUGUUCAUGAAUCAGUGAUCAAAUGUAAGUUUAUUGCCCUUAUGAGCCACUGAAAUCAUCGUACUUAGAACUCCAACGCUCAAGCGGAUCAAUUAACAAUCAAAUAGUAAUAGGGAGCCAUCGGUGCUCCAAAUAAACAGUGGUGGAGACGUUGAGUUUAAGCACAAGACUUCCCAAGAACUCAUUGGAUCCAAAUCAUUUCAUGAUACACAUGCAAGCACUCAUGAUAUGCAAUCGAGUAAGCAAUGCAAGAAAUAGUUCGGAAGUAACUUUGGAAAUAGUUUUGGGAUCACUCACCAACCAUAUCUCAUGAGCCUCGUCCAUCAUAGACAGUUUCCUCGAUCAAGUCCAAGCCCUUUAUUUCUACCAAGAAUUAACUCAAACUCAAAGCAAUCAAAUUCUCUCCAAGAUUGGACAGCACUUCCCCGUAAUUUCCUUGUUUUUCAUCCUACAAUACAUCACCAAUCCCAUCGCAAUUCCACCACAUUUUCACAUACAAAUCAUAAGUUAUAAAACACACCUAAUUAGGGCCACAAUACCCUUAAAUCUUAACCAAUUAAGAGCUCAAUAACCAACCAUAAGAAAGCCCCAAAUUUGAAACCCUAAAACUGAAAUUUUCCGCACAAAUCUGAAAUUUUCCGCAAACAACCACAACUAACACACAAAGGCGCCAUUUGACACCAUAUCAAGCUAUCAUCCCAUGACCAACCAACAAUUAUCAUAUAAAAUCAAAAAAGUCACUAAUAAAUCAGCAAUUUGUCAAACUCUAUUUAAAAUCAUGAAAUCAUCCAUAAUAUAGCAUAUAUAACAUCUCUAAUCCACCAAUUAAUAAUCAAUUGAAGUAGAUAAGAAGUUCUUAGCAAGAUACCUUCAAAUCUCAAGAAAAUUGGUAGCUUAGUGGUUCCUCCUCCAAAACAACUCCACCAAUAGUUUUAAACCUCCUUAGUGAGCACUUGUAUGGAAUAGAUUGCAAAACUAACGGUGAAAUCUCAAGUUUUGGUGAAGGAAAUCAAAGGAAACAAAAUGGGGUUUUCCUCUCUUGUUCUCCCUCUCAAAAGGUUCGGCCAAGCCAAAGAAAGAAAUGAGGGAAAUAUCAGCCAAAAGCAAGAUAAGAACGUUGGAAAACAGCCGGUCAAACCUGGCUGUUGAGGUGCCACGUCACAAUCCGGCCAAGAUCAGGCCGGAUUUAGGGCAGUGGCGAAAACCAUUUUUUUUUUCAAAACCCACCAACAAUCCGGCCAAGAACUGGCCGGAUUUGGUACUAACUUUUUCCACCAAAAAUUUUCUUUUCUUCUUCUUUCGGGGCUUCACACAAUAAGUCUUUUUUAAUUAAUUGGUAACCAAGAAACUAGCAUAUUUAAAUCUACUAGGUGAGCCCAAUAGCAUCCUUACCCAUUGUUAGUUUAGUCUAAAAGCAGUGAAAUAAUUAAAUUAAAGCCCAAUUUACCGUAGACCCAAACUAGCCUUUAAUCAUAUAUAUAUAUAUAUAUAUAUAUAUAUAUAUAUAUAUUCCUAAACUAAACCCACGAUUUCAUGAGCUAACCAGACACAACUUGGCCCGUUUCUUUUUUAUCAAACAAACCAUUUAGAAACCCAUAAGCUUGACCCAUUUCAUUUUAAUAUUCCGACCCAUUUAAGUUUGACCCAUUUCCAUCUCACAACCCGUCUUGUCAACCAAAUGGUUUUUCUUUCACCAACCACAAUUUCCCCAAAUUUCAAAGCCUAACUUAUCAAAAUCCUAGCCGCCAUCACAACCUUCACCAUUAUCCACGUUGAUUUCUAUAUCCAAUUCACAACCUACAAUUUUAAAUAAAUUUUAUGGCCAGAAAGAGAAAAAAAUAAUAUAUUUUUAACAUAAUAUAUAAUUAUAUUGGUGAGCACAAUAUAUAUAUAUAUUUGAGAACUUUUUGGUGUAAACCUCUUGGAGAGCUCCCAACAUCCAAUCCUUUUUUCUUUGAUUUUGAUUACUUUAUUUUACCAAUAAUUCAAUUAUGUCUUCGGUUUGGAUAAGGCAUAAUUUCACUUACUUUCCAAAUUUUACAUGCUUCGAAUCAAGCCUCAUAAUAGUAACCCCUCAAAAAAUGCAAUUACCGAAUCAUAGCAAAUAUGAGCUUGCGUCAUGUUUGGAUGCGACAUAAUGUCUCACAGCCAAUAAUUUCAUGUACUCGACUAAUUUUUACAUAAUUCCAAACAAGCCUUAUGACGUGGUUUAGGUUUUCAAGUUAUAAAUUUCUAAUUAUCAAUUUAAUUUUGUCCAAUUAUCUCAAUUUUUCUCAAGUAUACGAGUCAAACAACUAUAGUGAUGAUUAGGGUCUAUCCCAUAGGAAUUUGGUUAAUUAACAAGGCUUUUCAACUAAUUUUAUUAUCUAAACAAAUGAAAUAUUAUCAAAGAACAACAAUGACAAAAUUAAAGAGAUUAAUUUAGAUGGUAAAACCAGCCAUACAAGUUAUAAUUAGUUAGGCAGUAUAACCUGUCAUAUAACAUAAAUAAUAAAUAUAAAACCACAUUAGGUGGUAAACCAACCAUGUAGGCGGUAAGUUAAAAGAAAAGAAACAAAAGUUGAGAGAGUUAGAUUAGGUUUUCUUAAUAUUAAGAUCCCAAGGAUUAGAAUCUCUUGUUGCUUCAAGAUAGUGAUUGACUUGGUUAAAUUAAACCUUUAACUUGUGGCUUGUUUAGGAAGUAACCACCCUUAAUUUCUUGGAUAUUGUUUUCACAAAUAAACAAGAAUCCUCACACCAAGCCUUUAUCUAUUUGCAUGAUAAAUUAACUUAACAUGAGUUCAUGAAUCUCAAUGAAAUUACACACACGUUCCAUCUAAAUCCACCUCCAACCAACGUGAAGAUGUAAUCUAGAGUUCAUACAUUUUGUACUAUACAUGCAAGGCACAUUAAUGGCUCAAACACAUGCUUGAAUGAUAUAUACUUGGUGAUCAAGCAACUACACAUAUUUGAUGCAAACAUAUGAACAAACAAGUUCACAAGGUGGCCAAAAUCAACUCAAGCAAUCACGCAAUCUUGAACUACAAGUUCAUCUUUUCCCUAGGGUGCAAGAGUUUAGCUGGACAUAGAAUUGAACAUAUUGAACAUAAAACUCUUGAAAUAAAACAUGAAUCAAACAAGGAAGUAAAGAGUAAAAGUUGAUGUAAUCUUAUUCAAGUGAAUGAAACAAGCUCUUCAAACUUCUUUUUUACAACCUUGAUCUUCAAGUGUAACACAACAAGGUUGUUUUGUUUUUAAGAAAACCUCUCUUUUUUUUACUCAUACAACCUUCUAUUCCAACUAUCACCCUCUAAUUCUUCAAUCCUUCAUCUUUAAAAUCAAUGAAUCACAAGGGGUAUUUAUAGAUGUUUAUGAAGAGAAAAAUGUACUCAUAAUGUGGUCAUAAAGUUGUCCUUCACUUUUUCAACACACACUUAGCUGUUUCCAAUUGAAUUUCUGCAGAAAUAAUGUUCAGAUAGCAGUGUGAAAAUAAGUGCAAGUUGCAGAACAACUUGCAUAAUUGGCUUAGGGAUCUAUGAGGCAAAUCGGUGAGGCAAUACCUCACGGAUCACCUCGUGGUUCUAUUUCUUUUCUCUUUUCAAAGCUUCAAAUGUGACAGUUGAUGAUCCAUGAGGUAUUUCCUGCUGUUAGCUCGUGUAUCUUGAACUUUUGGAGUUGAUUUAUGACCUUGCAUUCUUUUUUCCAGAUAAUUGAACCCCUUGUAUGUUGAUCUUUGAAUCACCAAUGCUAGAGUGAUAUUCAAGUGCACUCAACUGCUAAACUAUCCUACAAAUGCCAUAUCAAUUGUACAUUAUACAUGUAAUCGAAAUAGAAUGAAGCUUAUAGAAAUUAAUAACUUAAAGAGCUAGUUUCAUUUUUAAAAAUCCUAAAUUUUUAACAAAAGUAUGCAAAUAAAUGUAUUUUAAAGCAUGCAAAAUGAACACUUAUCAAAUUGCCCCACACUUAAAUCAUUGCUUGUCCUCAAGCAAUAAGAAAAACCAUACAACAAUGAUUUAACAAUUAUUGUUGGAAGAAUCAUGGAAGGAUCUGUGCUUUCCUUUGGAAGAGGGCAGGUUAGGUUUUAGGUCUUUUAAUGUUGUGUCUGAGACUUAUUCCAUGAAGUUAUGGGUAAGACUGAGAUAAGGCUCCUUACCAUGGGCUGGAUUCAUGCAGCAGAAAUACUUCCAGCAUGUCCAUCCGAUGCUGGCAGACAGUACUAGAGGGUCUUUUACUUGGCGAAGGCUUUGUAGAAUAAGAGGCAUUGCAGAGCCGCACAUCUUUUGGAAACUUGGGGAGGGAAAAGUGGAUUUUUGGAGGGAUAAAUGAGCAUCAUAUGAACCUCUGUGGUCUCGUUGUCAAGUGGAGUCUUCCCCACUGUUCAAUGUUGCGGACUUUCUUGAGGAUUCUAGUUAGAAGGUGAGUUCGUUAAGACAGUGGCUGCCUUCAUAGGUAGUGUCGAACAUCUUGGAGAUACCGGUGCAGUCUAAUGGGUGUGAUGUGGUAAUUUGGAAUGCAUCUUCGUCGGGGCAGUUCACAGUCAAAUCGGCUUAUGAGUUGAUCCGAAGCAAAAGAAACUCCCUAAUUGUGUUACGAGCUAUUUGGCAUCAACUUGUGCCUUUAAAGUUCUCCUUCCUUGCUUGGAGGAUCUGUAUUAAUUUUUUGCCAGUGGAUGCGCACCGAUAGAGGAAAGGGCUCACUUUAGUGUCAUGCUAUGAUUGUUACGCUUCGAUCAAGUCAACUCGGCACCUUUACUUCAGGGGACAGAUAGUAGAGGCUGUGUGGCAUUUUUUUUUUCACUCCAUGUUUGGCCUCCCUUAUAUGGUUCACUCAUGUUUCCAGGCAGUUAUGAUGCAAUGGAUUUUGUCGUCUCCGAAAGGUUCGACAGAGCAUAUACGUAGCAUAAUCCUGACAAUUGUAGUGUGGUUCAUUUGGAAAAGUCGGAUUGCAGCUAGGUUUGAGGGUGUACGAAUGAAUGCUAACUCUAUAAUAUUACAAGUUCAGCAGUUUUUGCAGCUUGUAGGUCGAUUCUCCUCUGUUCAAAGUGUUCAACUUGAAGGGGAUUUUACUCUGGACAUAGCAACCUUUUUCAAGAUACAACCUGCAAGAAAAAAGUGUGUUAUGGUCAUUAAGUGAAAGGCGCCACAACAGGGGUUUUUCAAAAUUAAUACAAAUGCUAGUGUAGUAAAUAGAAGAGUGGCGGGAUACAGAUGCUAGUAUAGUAAAUGGAAGAGAAGCGGGUAGAGGUGUAAUUCGGGAUCACUGCGAGAACGUCAUUACGGCCUUUUAUAAGGAAUUUGGUGAAAUGAAUGUCUUGGAAGCAGAGGCACGGGCGCUAGACUAUGGGUUGGAGGUUUGUCAGCAACAGAGAUUAUGGUAUAUGAUCACGGAGGCUGAAUCAAAAGGACUACAUCUCUUAGUUAUGUCAAAAUGUUCAACCAUGUGGCCGCUUUGCAAUGUAAUUUCUAGAAUAAAGAGGAGGCUGCUAGAACUAUAGGGAUCCUUGUCGUACAUUUUUAGAGAAGCAAAUGCGGUUGUAGAUGCGUUGGCUGGAUUUCAUCUCUCUGGGCAGUUAGCCUUUUAUUCUAUAUCACAAAUGCCUGCCCUAGCCAAAUCAUUAGUUCAUUUAAACAACUCUAACUUAUGUGUAGUUUGCCUACAAAAUGUAAGGGAGUAGUACUCCUGUUUCGUUUUCUCCUCUAGUUGUUCCUCUUUAAUAAAAUAUGGGGCUGGCAACCCCUUCCCGCAUACAGGGUUUGCUAACAAAAUAAAUAAAAUAAACAAUGUGAAAUUUUGAAAACACAACUCCUCAUCAUAACUUUGUAAAAUAUCAUUAUCCAUUUAUUCAAAUUGCCAUAAAUACUCAUAAUAUCAUAACUUUGUAAAAUAUCAUUAUCCAUUUAUUCAAAUUGCCAUAAAUACUCAUAAUAUAAAGUAAAAGAUAAAUAAUUAUACCCUAAUCUCAUAUCAAAAUUAAUCUCUCAGUCUAACUAAAUUGCAUAAGUAAAUGAAUCAUAUAAUUAUUAUAAGCUUUUUCUCUUCCAUAUCACUUUUUUUAUUUCAAGAGAGAUUUAUUCUUCUUAUAAUAGUUUUCUUAAAUUGCAAAGAUACUUUUUGACGUGAAAAUCGACAUUUUUAGAUGAAAAUCUCCGGUUACUCAACACCUCACUUAUUUAAGUUAUUUUAUAUACUCUUAACUUAAAUACCUUUUAUGCAAAGUUAAUAUUGGUAGAUGCUAACCCCCGGUUACUCAGUACUUAAAUCAUAAGAGUAACAUAAUUCUCUUUUUUUUUUGAAGAGUAAAAGUUGAUGAAUUCCCUCAAAAGAUUAAAAUGUAAGAAGAGGUUAACUCUUUUUAACUAUAUCAGCCAUUUACUUAUAAAAUCUAGUAAAGCAAAAAAUCUUGUUUAACAACAAUAAUUAUAGGCAUAAUUUUUCCUAUUUUACCAGAUAUACUUUCUAAACAUGCAAGGAUCCUAAUCGCAUAAUGAUGAUUUUCAAGUCAAAUGUGAAAUUGAUUUCCUUAGUCACAUAAAUUAUUUCAAAAUAUAGGAAAAAAAUUAAACUUAAAUAGUAAGGACUAAUGAGCUUUUUGAAAAAUUCUGAGCAUACUUUUGCUAUUGGGUACAAGAUUUUUAAAAAAAUUUGACAGAAUUUUCCCUUAUAAUCGAACGAAACUUGCUGCCAACAAACCCAAAUUUUGACAAAUUCAAACACAAAUAACUUUGUCAAUAUUAAGGCCAAAUUAUAACCAUCAAGAAACAGAAAAUAUCUCCUGCCACACUUAAAAUACACGUUGUCCUCAACGUGUGGGAAAGAUAAAAUGGUAAAAGAAAGAAAUACUCCCCAAAUGUCAAAAGAAUAAGUCUAGUGCAACCAUAAUUUCACGAACAUCCCAUCUACUACUUAACAAAUAUUGCAGAUAAUUUAGAAGUAGCACAGCAUGAGUUCCAACUAUCAUAAGUCCAUAAAACAAAAGAAAUACUACUAAAAAAUUAAAUAGGGAUAAUAGAAAGCAAAGUUGAAUCAAUUUCUCCAAAAGUGGUGGGGACACCCUUAAAAACCUUUAAUCCGCACUAGAAGGGCUGCAAGUGAAUGGUUGGCGUUGAGAAAUGUCCAAGUGAUCCUUGAUGCGACGUAUUCGAAUGCCGUGGCAUUCCAAACUAGCAUUGAUUUGAUCAAAAACAUUCCUCCACUCGAACUUGAAAACAAUUAAUCAUGUUGAAAAGGCACUACCAAUUUGAUCAGAAAGGAGAAGGUGAUAGUUGUGGUGCAAACGUUGAAGGACCAGUUUCAUUUUCAUUUCGUGGAGUGAGCAAAGAAGAUUGUUGAUCUCUAAUUUGGCUAGAUUCUGUAGGCCUUGACGGAUGAGGAAUAUUAGCAGCCCUUAUACUCAAUUCAUGUAGAGUAUAUUCGUUUGAGUAUAUUCGUUAAGCUCAUAAAUUGCCUUCACUUGCACCUUUUCCACGUCUUAUAGACGGAUUUCCUCUUGUUCAAAUAGCAAUGACAAGAGAUGCGGGAAUCCAAACCUAUACUUGGUAGUAUGAUGUCUCACUGCUGUUCUUAUAAAGUUAAUGAUGAUAUUGUGGAACAUGCGGUCCAAGAAGUAAAGAUCAUUGUUUCGGACUUCAUUGAGGCUACUCUUUUUUGGAAUCACAUUUCUUAAAAACAAGUAAAGGAUUAGCUGAUGGCGCGAUUGGAAUGCGCUAGCCUUGAGUGUAGAUCUUUGAAAAAUUCUAGUGUAUUCCAAAAUUUGCUCAAAGCAUGCCAUGGCAAAAGCAAGAUCCCACUAUUCAUCCGGUGAGUGAAAUUCCUUUUUCAAGUCAAUGGUCAGUCCUUCAUCGUUACACUCAAGAUAUGCUGCCAAUGUAUCUCGAGUGAUUGUCAAUUGCUUCCCUCGGACAUAAGACUUGAUGACCUCUCUACUGUGCCCACCUUUGUUCAUUAUAUUGGCAUAGAACUCCUUGACCAAAGUGGGAUAGAUAUGACUUGGAAAAGAUCAAAUUGGAACCUAACCAAGAAUGUUAAAAGCCUCAACAAUUUUAAACUCUACAUCAACCUCUGGGGCUACAUGCAUUUCAUAAAUGAACUCUCUCUACUUACAUGCCUCAAAUCAUUCUUGGUUCUCCUUUGAAGUGAAUCGAAUUGGAUCAUAAUCUAGAGAAACGUGCCAACUUGUUGAACAUCUUGUUGAUCGAGUCCUUAGCGGUGGAGAUGGAGAAGGAACAUUCUCUUCAUACACUUCUUCAGAUGAUGAUGAUGAUCGAAUAAUUGCUCGUUGUCGUCUAACCAUGGUACCUAUCACAAUUUAUCAAGGCGGAUAUAAGGUACUAGUAAACUUUAUUUCACAAUUAAAAGAUAAUUCACCUAAAUGAAUGCCUAAUAAAUGCAUAAGCACAUAAUAAAUUAGACUUUAAAAUACUUAUAGGCAUUCGUUUCACAAUUAAAAGAUAAUUCACCCAAAAUGAACUCAUCUAGGUAAUCAUCAACCCAGUAUACCAAAUCACCAAAUCAACAUUUAACCAUUGAUUAAAUUAAAUUACGAAGAAAUAUUCUUUUUAAAUGUAUGUAAUUUAACUUACCAAAUUUACCAAAUUCUUCAACCAUUAACAACUUAUCAUCAAAUUAUAUUUAUGAUCAAGAAUUAACACCAUUAAACUCACUAACUCCCUUAAAAUAACUCAAUUUCCUAUUAAAAUAGCCUAAACACAAUGUCUCAAAUUUUUCUUUAAUAAUUCACAAUUUUUUUCAACUGUCAACUUAUAAGUAAAACAAUCAAUUAUUCAUCAUUAACAAGUCACAUUGUAGUUCACUAACAUCUCCAAAUAAACACAUUAAUAUGCAAAAAUUUUAUUUUUUAAUUUAAUGCAAAUAUAGCAACUAAAAAAAUCAAUCAAUAACCAAUUAUGACAUUGCUAUAUUUAAAUAUUAAAGCAUCCCUAAAUAACUCUAAUAAUCAUUUAGGAAGCAAUAAACAUCAAUAAAGUUCAAUAAAAUUUGUCUAUUAGAAGAUGUCAGAAAACUCAAGAAAUUGAAAAAUAGCAACUUCUAAAAUACAAAGAUUUGAUGAAAAAACUUAUGUCAAUCAAGUAGAAUGAUGUUUGGUGAUGCAACUAAUGCCAAAACUUUCAAAAAUAUCACUAAAAAUAACUCCCAAUUGAGCAAAUUACAACUUAAGAAACCCUAGCUUCAAUGAAUUGAAACGAGAUUUUUGAUUUUUUUUGUGUUGAUUUUAAUCCAUAGAAAUAAGUCUAAACAAGGUUUACAGUGUUUAUCUAGUAAAGUUUGGCAAGAAAAACAAGUGAAAAUGGUGAUUUGUGAAGUGGGUGGUGAGUGUGUGUGUGGAUGCGGGAAGAGGUGAAGUAGGAAUGAAAAGCAAAGCUGCAAUUUUUCAUUUUUAAAGAAUUCUGGAGCAAAUCCGCGAGCUGUUUGUAACGAUCCCACCUCCCCCUAGGGCGUACCCUAGGGUUUAGCGGACCGCCUGCCCAGUUCUCGCCGGGACUCACUCACUUACUGAAAGAAAACAACUUACAACCAUAGAAAGGAAAUAAAACAACAAUUUCCAAACUUAAAAUAUAUAUUUGUACUUAAAUCCAGCUCCAAGGCUCAUACAUGCCCCAAAUGUGUCAAAUAUUCCAAAAUCCAAAAACAUCCAGCCCUAGUCAGGCAUUACCGUGAGCACAAUCGCAAAAAUUCAAAAACCAGACUUUGCUAGCCUGUACCAGUCCCCACACCCUUGCUCAUAUCCCUUGUAAGGAAAAAAAAUCUCAUAGAAUGAUCUAAAAUUCAGUGAGAUUCCAAAAUUUCAUGCAAACCCAAAUAGCAAGUUGGCCAUGAUUUAACAUCACAUGUAUCAAAAUAGCGAGCACAUGAAGUCAAGAAAAUGAGUAAUAAAGUUUUGUAAAGCCAAGCACUGGUUAUUUAACAUAUCAAGUGAAAGGAUACUGCGGCUAUUUCAAAAUAGCUCCAUCAUAGCUUGAUCAAGUAGUAGUUGACUCUCCGUCAACUUUCAAGUAGAGUAACCCGUCCAGUAGAACACCGCUUGACGCCAACCCGUCCACCAUUCAACCCCCAUACCGGGCCCGAACGUUCAGAUAAACACGAGUGGUAAUAAUACUCGAGCAUAUCAAUUAGUCGAGGAGGUAUCACUUCACUCGACAAAACAAGAGACCCAGGGUUCGUUAUCUAAUCGACCAGACCCUUUGCCGGCUCGACUCGAUUAACUAGUCUCAGGGUUUCUGAAAUUCCAGAGUACUCAUGCAUAAACAAGUAUAUCAAGUUAUGUGCACUCAAGGCACAGCAACAAGUCAUAUUUAGGACAAGUACGAUAAAAUACACCAUUGUCCGUUCAAACAAGUCAAAUAUUAUCCAAGCACAUUAAUAAAACAUGUAAAAACAAGUAUCAAACACAAACAUGCACUUGGAAGCCCUCACCAAAGGUCUAGUGCUUUUCAAGGUUACGUUCAGGUGCAACUCCUUGGAUGGAGUCCAAGUUUGCGAUGAAAUAUUAUGCAACAGUUUAAAAUCAACUGGGGUUCGAAACUUAAGCGUUUCGCUUAACGAAAAUCAAGUAACUAAAACUCAUUUGGGUAAUAGUCAUGUUACUUAUCAAACUCUAGAAAAUUCAUACUCGCUCUUUUGGUGUUACUAAAGAAGCAAUUAAAACUUUGGAAUUCACAUUUGAAUCUAAAAGACGAGGAAAACGUAUUUCUAUUGGUCAUUACUUUCACUUUUUAAAGGGUACAAGUUUCGGCCGAAUUCGGCUCAUAUACUUCUACUAACGGUAACUUGACUACCAUAGACAAUCUAAGUUCCCUUCGAUUUCAAAUCAUCACUCAACUCAACUUCACUCGCCUAAUCCUUGAGCGAAAAUUUGGGCGGCAUGCCCUUUAUAUUUCGCUAUUUUUCAACCAUUUAUGACUUCAUUAUUUUUUCCUCAACUCAUCCCAGAUUCAACACAUAAGCAAGCUUAACACAAUAACUCUUCAACUAGGCUCAAUGUCAUCCAAAUACAAGUCAAUUCUAGUAAUUCAAUCAUCAAGACCAAAGCUGGAAACUAAUAUUAAAGAAAAAUGUCUAAAUAACAGGUUUGUCAUCUUUCGGCGUUUUGAUCACAACUCAAGCUAUGCUUAUCGGAUUGGGGCAAAUUUUAUGGCAUUUUUAAGCUAAGACAUAAAACUAGAUUUUCUAUGAAGACAUCAACACCCAAUUCUCACAUUUUCAGGGUCAAAAAUUGACAUCUCAAAGAAAACAGAAAGCUGUUGGUGAAACAUGGCAUUUGGGCAGUCAAGGGUAUUUUAGUUAUUUCACAAGCUACAGUACUCCGAUUGAGUUAAAAUGUUGCAGGUCGAUAGUUAACGCAAUUCCCUAUAAUGUUCAUGUUUUGAGUAAGAGCUGAUUUGGCCUUUAUCAGGGACGAAUAAGCAGGUCAGAUCGGUUUAAAGAAACAGGGCAGAAUCUCUACCAACGCUGAAAUUCAACUUUUACUCUAACAAAGUUACACUCAAGCCCAAAAUCACUUCACAAGUUCCAUUUCCAACCUUAAUACAUCAUUUAGUAGUUAAACAAUACUAAUCAAAAUUGAAAAGAUGCAAACCCUAACUAAACAUGCCACUAUUCUAUCAAAACUAAACAAUCAACCAUCAUAUGCCAAAAUUACAAGCUUCUAUAGCAUUUUUAGCUAGAUUAAGUUAAAGACAAGAGGUGGAUGAACUUAUACCUUACCAAAGCCUUCUUGUAAGUGAAAAUAAACCACUCUCUUCCAAAAUUGUACCACACCAAACUUUCCAAGCACCAAAAGGUAAGUUUAAUUAGUUUAGUUUUUGUGAUUUCAACUCAACAAGAAAGAAUCAAGGUUGGAGUUGAAGUUGUUUUUCUCUCUUUUUCCCCCUCUUAGUUUCAACCAACAUGAAGAAGAAUGAAGGACAAAUGAAGCCAAUUUGGUGAUAAGAAGGAAGGAAAUUGGUUUAGUUAAAGUUGGUUGGAUUUCCGCCAAGUGUCGUUACAAGAUUAAAUCUCAAAAUUUCCUUUGCCCUCUCUACUUUUAGUCCAAAUUUUCAACUGUAUUAAGGAGAUAUUUAGGGCUGAUUUUGCUCAAUUAAUAACAAGAAAAUUAAGAUAACAAAGUAAUGUCCAAGUGGUGUACUCAAUCGGUAGCAAACGGUGCACGUCGGUUCAAGCCGAUUUUCCUUAACUCUCUCGUACUUGCGUUUUAACUUGUGAUUCACUAACUUAUUAUUAGUACUUCUAAUCACACAUUUUCUCUUACUUAAUAUUUGUUCUUAUCCACUAAAUUUAGUACACACACCUCACUAAGUGAUCACACUACCAAAAUGCACCAAAAACACACCAAAAACCCUAGUAUGCACAAAAAAAAACCCAAACUAAUGUCAUUCCUUUAGAAAAAUCAUAACUUGAGUUAUAAAUGUCAAACAUUCAUACAACUUGACCUGUUAAAAACUAGACUUAAAACACUACUAAUCUUUAGAAGACACCUCAAAGAAAUUCAGCUCAUAAGUUAGUCCAAAUUGAGCCAUAAAUUACUACAACAUUCCUAUGUUUACUUGUGCAGGGCAGAAUUUUCAAUCAAAUUUGCCAAUUUUUUAGAAUUUAUAGAGAUUGAAUCAAACUCUGAAUUUUCCACUGUAGGAAGUCCAAUGAGUCUAGUUUCAAACGCAACAAACGGAACUCAAUUCCGACUUUCCUACACGAAAUUAUAGCCAAUUUCCCAAAGCUGCGCAGAGUCUCCUGCGAAAAUUUCUAGAUUUUCUAACAACUUGACAUUAUGAAACUUUUCUUAACAAAAUUCACUCCCUUGGCUCAUAUUCAACCAAGAAUCUAAGGCAAGUAAGUUCAAAUAAGAGUUAUAAAGAUAAGUAAACUUUCAGGGUCUCAUACUUUCUCCCCCUUAAAAGAAUUUCGUUCUCGAAAUUCGAACCUUUACUCGCACAAAACUUGAUAUUCCAGUAUUUUCCUCCAAUUCCUAAGUGGCUUUCCCUUACUCAUAGUACUACCACAAACUUACCUAGAGAAAAAACGUAAUGGCUAAGUUGAUAUGCUAAGAAAGUUCAAUGAAGGCGUCAAAUUGUGCAAAGUGAUAUAAAUUUAGGAACUUGAUGAAAAGGAAAAUUCAUAACUAUGAAACUUGGUUACUACUCUUGCUAAAUCGUGAAAUAAAAUACUAUGCAUUGGCAAAUAAUCUCCAAAGUAUAUCUUCUCUCAUGACUACAAUUAAAUCUCGAGACAUGUACUACCCUUCACGCCUCUAUUGAAAAAACAAAAAUAGACUAUAGAGGUAUAAGCAAAACAAAGUAACUAUAAAUUUUGGUAAAAACAUUUCCAAAUCAUAAAGUGAAAACAAUAGAACACAUUUAAAAUAAAAUACUCUCUUCAUAUACAUAACAUAACAAGUCAUAUACCCUAUGGGACAUUAACCCUAGGUAUUGCUCAAAUCUCACACCAUUAGCCAAAAUUUUAACUAGACAAUGGAAAACAUGAAUCGCACCUUCUACCACUGUAGACAGGUUAAGCACUGGUUGGUGGUUUAAGGUAUAUCCUCUGGCAGGUACUCUGGGUUUAUUUCCUCUCACAUUUGGUUGUUUAGGGUUUAACUUGAGGGAACAGGUUGCAACCUGAUGCUCAGCACUACCACACCGUAAACAUUUUCGGGUCUUCAUCCAACAAUUAUCCUCAGUAUGAUUGGUUUUUCCACAAUAUCCACAAGAUAAGAGAUGGAUUGAGGUUUGAUCUCCUUGUGAGACACCUCUCAAUUGUCCUCCUCCACCUAGGGUUCCUUUCGGAGUAACUUCCUUGGAUGUCUCCAAAAUUUUCACACCACCAACUCCUCGACCCAUUUUAGAAGGUGUCAUACUUAGAUCAUCUUGUUCCUGCCCUUGGUCUCCACUAGACGCACAUUUCUUUCCUUUCUCCUUCUCGCUAUACUUCGUAGCGAGCUCAUCUUCACUAAUCGCUUUGCGUUUCUCUUUAGUAUCGUGGGAACUUCUUUCACCUCUUUCAACUUGAUUACUAGGAAGGUCUUGAGAUAUUACUUGGCUGGGUGAAGGCACCACUUCAAACUUAUUCCGUACCCUUUCUAGAAUCCCCUUGUAUUUCUUUUCCAAUUCCAUAUUCUUGUGUAACAGUUCAAUUUUCUCAGCAUAUUCUUGUUUCCAUCGUCCUUCCCAAUAGUCAACCAAUUUCUUUUGGAAUUCUACCUCCAUCCGAAGGGUGUCUUUUUCCUUAUGCAUACCUUCCAAAUUUGUCAUAUCACCAAUUCCCUUAAAGUCAAAUGACAGCCUGCCAUGAAAAUCAAAAGAUCGAAAUGAAUAAUUAAUCACAAUUGGAAACUCUAGCCAUAUCACUCUUUCAUUUUUUUGCUUACAGGUUACCCAAGAAAUAUGAAUUUUAACUAUACCCCACAGAGGUAGAUAAGAAAUCUAAACAUAAGUACUAAUUUUUAUUCUUGGGUCUUUUCACAAGGAUUACUAUCAUCACUUAUCCAUGAAACAAAAUGUAGAUUUAUAUUCCUUUAGUAGAAGUUUCACAACCUAACUCAACUCACUCUUUCUUAUACACUUACUUAUAAACUCAUUCAAGAAGAAACUAUAACUUCUAACCCCUCAAUAGUGCUUUUUCCAUCCUCCAUCUGGGUAGUUGUCCUAAAUCCGCAAAAAUUCGUAUACAAGUGUAGAACUUACACUUUUGUCUCCAAAAAUUCCAUAUAUAAUUCACAACUUAAAUAGAAAUCAAACUCAAGUUCCUAUGCGAUAUCGUAGAAGGGUAGAAAAUACAAAAGAUAGUCAAGUAAGAGUUAAAACGAGUUCAAAAGAAAUUCAUGUAUAACCGUAAUCAAAUCGCAAUAAAAUCAUAGAAACACGAAAUAAGAGUACAUAGGUACGGGAGAAAUAAAACAAACUAUAAUACUAGCGCCUUAACGUUCGCAACGAUCACCAAUCUAGCUAUCAUCUACAAAAAUCCUAACCAGACCUGCACGAGACUAAUCCAUGACAACACUCACUGAUCCACUUUCCGUAAUCAGUUCAAUCUCAAGUCCAUUAUUAGAACCUUUCACACCUUGAAUUUUACCAUCCAACUUUAUCUCAAGUUCAAUCGAGAUAUCAAUCCUUUUUCUAGUAGUCUCCACUUUUAGUACUCAGAUACAAGAAUCCAAAACUAGGAGAAUUCACAUCUCAGGCCGUACGCUCCCAAGUGCAAAUCGUCCAAGUUCAAGAUUCCAACCUGACAUACACAUCUAUCAACCUCAAGUAUCAUGAUAAAGGUUUUACGUCUAUAACUUUCAUAAUUCAUAACUUACGCUCAUGUAGAGCACUUAGCCCUUGAUAUUUAUUCAUAUAAUUGGGACCAUAUCACCACUUGGCCCAAGUUCACCUUGCGCAGAGACCACGCGAGACAGUUCUCAUACCGUCUGUGAUGACCCCACCUCCCCCUAGGGCGUACCUUAGGGUUUUGCGGACCGCCUACCCAACUCUCCCCGGGAGUCACUCACUUUCUGAAAAAAAUAACUUUCAACCAUAGAAAGGAAAUAAAACAACAAUUUCCAAACUUAAAAUAUACAUUAGUACUUAAAUCCAACUCCAAGACUCAUACAUGCCCCAAAUGUGUCAAAUAUUCCAAAAUCCAAAUACAUCCAACCCUAGUUAGGCACUAGCAUGAACACAGUCGUAAAAAUUCAAAAACCAGACUUUGCUAGCCUGUACCAAUCCCCACGCCCUUGGUCGUAUCCCCUGUAAGGAAAACAAAUCUCAUAGACUGAGUUAAAACUCAGUGAGGUUCCAAAAUUUCAUGCAGACCUAAAUAGCAAGUUGACCGUGAUUUAAAAUCACAUGUAUCAAAAUAGCGAGCACAUGAAGUCAAGAAAAUGAGUAAUAAAGUUUUAUAAAGCCAAGCACUGGUUAUUUAACAUAUCAAGUAUAAGGAUACCGCCGCUAUUUCAAAAUAGCUCCGCCAUAGCUUGAUCAAGUAAUAGUUGACUCUCCGUCAACUUUCAAGUAAAGUAACUCGUCCAGUAGAGCUCCGCUUGAUACCAAUCCAUCCACCAUUCAACCCCUUUACCGGGCCCGAACGUUCAGAUAAACACGUGCGGUAAUACUUGAGUAUACCGAUUAGUCGAGGAGGUAUCACUCCACUCGACAAAACAAGAGAUCCAGGAUUCGUUAUCUAAUCGACCAGGCCCUUUGCCGGCUCAACUCGAUUAACUAAUCUCAGGAUUUCUGGAAUUUCAGAGUACUCACGCAUAAACAAGUAUAUCAAAUCAUGUGCACUCAAGGCACAACAACAAGUCAGGUUUAGGACAAGUGCGAAAAAGUACACCCUUGUCCGUUCAAACAAGUCAAUUAUUAUCCAAGCACAUUAAUAAAACAUGUUAAAACAAGUAUCAAAUACAAACAUGCAUUUGGAAGCACUCACCAAAGGUCUAGUAUUUUUCAAGAUCAUGCACAGGUGCAACUCCUUGGAUGGAGUCCAAGUCUGCGAUGAAAUAUUAUUGAAGAGUUUAAAAUCAACUAGGCUUCGAAACUUAAGCGUUUCGCUUAACGAAAAUUAAGUAACUAAAACUCAUUUGGGUAAUAGUCAUGUUACUUAUCAAACUCUAGAAAAUUCAUACUCGCUCUUUUGGUGUUGCUAAAGAAGCAAUUAAAAUUUUGGAAUUCGUAUUUGAGUCUAAAAGACGAGAAAAACGUAUUUCUAUUGGUUGCUACUUUCACUUUUUAAAGGAUAUAAGUUUCAGCCGAAUUCAACUCAUAUACUUCUACUAACGAUAACUUGACUGCCAUAGACAAUCUAAGUUCCCUUCGACUUCAAAUCGUCGCUCAACUCAAGUUCAGUCGCCUAACCCUUGAGCGAAAAUUUAGGCGGCAUGCCCUUGGUAUUUCGCUAUUUUUCAGCAAUUUAUGACUUCAUUAUUUCCUCAACUCAGCCCAAAUUCAACACAUAAGCAAGCUUAACACAAUAGCUCUUCAACUAGACUCAAUGUCAUACAAAUACAAGUCAAUUCUAGUAAUGCAAUCAUCAAGACCAAAGGUGGAAACUAGUAUUAAAGAAGAAUGUCUAAGUAACAGGUUUGUCAUCUUUCGACGUUUUGAUCACAACUGAAGCUAUGCUUAUCAGAUUGGGGCAAAUUUUAUGACAUUUUUAAGCUAAGACAUAGAACUACAAUUUCUAUGAAAACAUAGACACCCAGUUCUCACAUUUUCAGGGUCAAAAUUUGACAUCUCAGAGAAAAUAGAAAGCUGUCGAUUAAAUAGGGUAUUUGGGCAGUCAGGGAUAUUUUAGUCAUUUCACAAGGUACAGUGAUCCGAUUGAGGUGAAAUUUUGCAGGUUGACAUUUAACUCAAUUCCCAAUAACUUUCAUGCUUUGAGCAAGAGCUGAUUUGGCCUUUAUCAUGGAUGAAUAUGCAGGUCAGAUCGGUUCAAAGAAAUAGGGCAGAAUCCAUACCAAUGUAGGAAUUCAACUUUUACUCUAACAAAGUUACACUCAAACCCAAAAUCACUUCACAAGUUCCAUUUCCAACCUUAAUACAUCAUUUAGUAGUUAAACAACACUAAUCAAAACUGAAAAGAUGCAAACCCUGACUAAACAUGCCACUACUCUAUCAAAACUAAACAAUCAACCAUCAUAUGCCAAGAUUACAAGUUUCUAUAGCAUUUUUAGCUAGAUUAAGUUAAAGACAAGAGGUGGAUGAACUUAUACCUUCCCAAAGCCUUCUUGUAAGUGAAAACAAACCACUCUCUUCCAAUAAUUGCACCACACCAAACUUUCCAAGCACCAAAAGGUAAGUUUAAUCGGUUUAGUUUUUGUGAUUUCAACUCAACAAGAAAGAAUCAAGGUUGGAGUUGAAGUUAUUUUUCUCUCUUUGUCCCCCUCUUAGUUUCGGCCAACAUGAAAAAGAAUUAAGGAGAAAUGAAACCAAUUUGGUAAUAAGAAGGAAGGAAAUUGGUUUAGUCAAAGUUGGUUGGAUUUCCGCCAAGUGUCGCUACAAGAUUAAAUCUCAAAAUUUUCUUUUCUCUCUCUUCUUUUAGUCCAAAUUUUUGGCUGUCUUAAGGAGAUAUUUAGGGCUGAUUUUGCUCAAUUAAUAACCAGGAGAUUAAGGUAAUAAAGUAGUGUCCAAAUGGUAUACUCAAUCGGUAGCAAACAGUGCACGUCGAUUCAAGCAGAUUUUCCUUAACUCGCUUGUACUUGUGUUUUAACUUGUGAUUCACAAAAUUAUUAUUAGCACUUCUAAUCAUACACUUUCUCUUACUUAAUACUUGUUCUUAUCCAUCAAAUUUAGUUCGCACACCUCACCAAGUGAUCACACUACCAAAAUGCACAAAAAACAUACAAAAAACCCUAGUAUGCACAAAAAAAAACCCUAACUCAUGUCAUUCCUUUAGAAAAAUCAUAACUUGAGUUAUAAAUGUCAAACAUUCAUACAACUUGACCUGUUAAAAACUAGAUUUAAAACACUACUAAUCUUUAGAAGAUACCUCAAAGAAAUUCAACUCAUAAGUUAGUCCAAAUUGACUUAUAAACUGCUAUAACAUUCCUAUGUUUACUUGUGCAGGGCAGAAUUUUCAGUCAACUUUGCCAAUUUUCAAGAAUUUAAAGAGAUUGAAUCAAACUCUGAAUUUUUCAUAAUAGAAAACAAACGAAACUCAAUUCCAACUUUCCUACACGAAGUUAUAGCCAAUUUCCCAAAACUGCGCAAAACCUCCUGCGAAAAUUUUUAGAUUUUCUAACAACUUGAUAUUAUGAAACUUUUCUUAACAAAAUUAACUCCCUUGGCUCACAUUCAACCAAGAAUCUAAGGCAAGUAAGUUCAAAUAAGAGCUAUAAAGACAAGUAAACUUUCGAGAUCUCACACUCUCUCCCCAUUAAAAGAAUUUCGUUCUCGAAAGUCGAACCUUUGCUCGCACAAAACUUGAUGUUCCAGUAUUUUCCUCCAAUUGCUAAGUGGCUUUCCGUUACUCGAAGCACUGUCACAAACUUACCUAGAGGGAAAACGUAAUGGCUAAGUUGAUAUGCUGAGGAAUUUCAAUGAAGGCAUCAAAUUGUGCAAAGUGAUAUAAAUUUAGGAACUUGAUGAAAAGGAAAUUCGCAACUAUAAAACUUGGUUACUACUCUUGCUAAAUCGUGAAAUAAAACACUAUGUAUUGGCAAAUAAUCUCCAAAGUAUAUCUUCUCUCAUGAUUACAAUUAAAUCUCUAGACACAUACUACCUUCCAUGCCACUUUUGAAAAAACAAAAGUAGACUAAAGAGGCAUAAGCAAAAUAAAAUAGUUAUAAAGUUUGGUAAAAGCAUUUCCAAAUCAUAAAGUGAAAACAAUAGAACACAUUUAAAAUAAAAUACUCUCUUCAUAUACAUAACAUAACAAGUCACAUACCCUAUGGAACAUUAACCCUAGGUAUUGCUCAAGUCUCACCAUUAGCCAAAAUUUUAACUAGACAAUGGAAAACAUGAAUUACACCUUCUACCACUGUAGACGGGUUAAGCACUGGUUGGUGGUUUAAGGUAUAUCCUCUGACAGGCACUCUGGAUUUAUUUCCUCCCACAUUUGGUUGUUUAGAGUUUAACUUGAGAGAACAGGUUGCAACCUGAUGCUCAGCACUACCACACCGUAAACAUUUUCGGAUCCUUCUCCAACAAUUAUCUUCAGUAUGGUUGGUUUUUCCACAAUAUCUACAACAUAAGUGAUGGAUUGAGAUUUGAUCUCCUUGUGAGACACCUCUCAGUUGUCCUCCUCCACCUGGGACUUCUUUCGGAGUUACUCCCUUGGAUCUCUCCGAAAUUUUCACACCACCAACUCAUCGACCCAUCUUAAAGGGUGGCAUACCUAGAUCACCUUGUUCCUGCCCUUGGUCUCCACUAGACGCACAUCUCUUUCCUUUCUCCUUUUCGCUACACUUCGUAGCGAGUUCAUCUUCACUAAUCGCUUUGCGUUUCUCUUUAGUAUCGUGGGAACUUCUUUCACCUCUUUCAACUUGAUUACUAGGAAGGUCUUGAGAUACUAUUUGGCUGGGCGAAGGCACUACUUCAAACUUAUUCGGUACCCCUUCUAGAAUCCCCUUGUAUUUCUUUUCCAAUUCCAUGUUCUUGUGUAGCAGUUUAAUUUUCUCCACAUAUUCUUGUUUCCAUCGUCCUUCCCAAUAGUCAACCAAUUUCUUUUGGAAUUCUACCUCCAUCCGAAGGGUGUCUUUUUCCUUAUGCAUACCUUUCAAAUUUGUCAUAUCACCAAUUCCCUUAAAGUCAAAUGACAGCCUGUCAUGAAAAUCAAAAGAUCGGAAUGAAUAAUCAAUCACAAUUGAAAACUCUAGCCAUAUCACUCUUUCAUUCUUUUGCUUACAGGUUACCUAAGAAAUAUGAAUUUUAACUAUACCCUACUAGGAUAGAUAAGAAAUCUAAACAUAAGUACUUAUUCUUAUUCUUGGAUCUUUUCACGAGGAUUACUAUCAUCGCUUAUCCAUGAAACAAAAUGUAGAUUUAUAUUCCUUUAGUAGAAGUUUCACACCAUAAUUCAACUCAAUCUCUCUUAUACACUUACUUAUAAACUCACUCAAGAAGAAACUAUAACUUCUAACCCCUCAAUAGUGCCUUUUCCAUCCUCCAUCUGGGUAGUUGUCCUAAUUCCGCAAAAAUUCGUACACAAGUGUAGAACUUACACUUUUGUCUCCAAAAAUUUCAUAUAUAAUUCACAACUUAAAUAGAAAUCAAACUCAAGUUCCUAUGCGGUAUUGUAGAAGGGUAGAAAAUAGAAAUGAUAGUCAAGCAAGAGUUAAAACGAGUUCCAAAGAAAUUCAUGUAUAAUCGUAAUCAAAUCACAACAAAAUCAUAGAAACACGAAAUAAGAGUACAUAGGUACGGGAGAAAUAAAACAAACUAUAAUACUAGCGCCUUAACGUUCGCAACGAUCACCAAUCUAACUAUCAUCUACAAAAACCCUAACCAAACCUGCACGAGACUAAUCCAUGACAACACUCACUGAUCCACUUUCCGUAAUCAGUUCAAUCUCAAGUCCAUUACUAGAACCUUUCACACCUUGAUUUUUACCAUCCAACUUUAUCUCAAGUUCAAUCGAGAUAUCGAACCUUUUUCUAGUACUCUCCACUUUUAGUACUCAGAUACAAGAAUUCGAAACUAGGAGAAUUCAAAUCUCAGGUCGUACGCUCCCAAGUGCAAAUUUUUCAAGUUCAAGAUUCCUACCUGACAUACAUAUCUAUCUACCUCAAGUAUCAUGAUAAAGGUUUUACGUCUAUAACUUUCAUAAUUCACAACUUACGCUCAUGAAGAGCACUAAGCCCUUGAUACUUAUUCGUAAAAUUGGGACCAUAUCACCACUUGGCCCAAGUUCACCUUGCGCAGAGACCACGCGAGGCAGCUUUGAUACCAUCUGUGACGACCCCACGUCCCCCUAGAGCGUACCCUAGGGUAUAGCGGAUCGUCUGCCCAACUCUCGCCGGGACUCACUCACUUACUGAAAAAAAUAACUUACAACCAUAGAAAGGAAAUAAAACAACAAUUUUCAACCUUAAAAUAUACAUUAGUACUUAAAUCCAGCUCCAAGACUCAUACAUGCCCCAAAUGUGUCAAAUAUUCCAAAAUCCAAAUACAUCCAACCCUAGUCAGGCACUACCGUGAACACAAUCGCAAAAAUUCAAAAACCAGACUUUGCUAGCCUGUACCAAUCCCCACGCCCUUGCUAGUAUCCCCUGUAAGGAAAACAAAUCUCAUAAAAUGAGCUAAAACUCAAUGAGGUUCCAAAACUUCAUGCAGACCCAAAUAGCAAGUUGACCAUGAUAUAAAAUCGCAUGUAUCAAAAUAGCAAGCAAAUGAAGUCAAGAAAAUGAGCAAUAAAGUUUUGUAAAGCCAAGCACUAGUUAUUUAACAUAUCAAGUGAAAGGAUACCGCCGCUAUUUCAAAAUAGCUCCGCCAUAGCUUGAUCAAGUAGUAGUUGACUCUCCGUCAACUUUCAAGUAAAGUAACCCGUCCAGUAGAGCCCCGCUUGACGCCAAUCCGUCCACCAUUCAACCCCCUUACCGGGCCCAAACAUUCAGAUAAACACGUGUGAUAAUAUUCGAGUAUACCGAUUAGUCGAGGAGGUAUCACUCCACUCGACAAAACAAGAGACCCAGGGUUCGUUAUCUAAUCGACCAGGCCCUUUGUCGGCUCAACUCGAUUAACUAAUCUCAGAGUUUCUGGAAUUCCAGGGUGCUCACUUAUAAACAAGUAUAUCAAGUCAUGUGCACUCAAGACACAGUAAUAAGCCAUGUUUAGGACAAGUGCGAUAAAGUACACCCUUGUCCGUUCAAACAAGUCAAAUAUUAUCCAAACACAUUAAUAAAACAUGUAAAAACAAGUAUCAAAUACAAACAUGCACUUGAAAGCAUUCACCAAAGGUCUAGUGCUUUUCAAGGUCACGCUCAGGUGCAACUCCUUGGAUGGAGUCCAAAUCUGCGAUGAAAUAUUAUUCAAGAGUUUAAAAUCAACUAGGGUUCGAAACUUAAGCGUUUCGCUUAACGAAAAUCAAGUAACUAAAACUCAUUUGGGUAAUAGUCAUGUUACUUAUCAAACUCUAUAAAAUUCAUGCUCGCUCUUUUGGUGUUGCUGAAGAAGCAAUUAAAACUUUGGAAUUCGCAUUUGAGUCUAAAAGACGAGAAAAACGUAUUUCUUUUGGUCGCUACUUUCACUUUUUAAAGGGUACAAGUUUCGGACGAAUUCAGCUCAUAUACUUCUACUAACGGUAACUUGACUACCAUAGACAAUCUAAGUUCUCUUCGACUUCAAAUCGUCACUCAACUCAAGUUCACUCACCUAACCCUUUGGCGAAAAUUUGAGCGGCAUGCCCUUUGUAUUUUGCCAUUUUUCAGCCAUUUAUGGCUUCAUUAUUUUCCUCAACUCAGCUCAGAUUCAACACAUAAGCAAGUUUAACACAAUAGCUCUUCAACUAGGCUCAAUGUCAUCCAAAUACAAGUCAAUUCUAGUAAUGCAAUCAUCAAGACCAAAGCUGGAAACUAGUAUUAAAGAAGAAUGUCUAAGUAACAGGUUUGUCAUCUUUCGGCGUUUUGAUCACAACUGAAGCUAUGCUUAUCGGAUUGGGCCAAAUUUUAUGGCAUUUUUAAGCUAAGACAUCGAACUACAUUUUCUAUGAAGACAUCGACACCCAGUUCUCACAUUUUCAGGGUCAAAAAUUGACAUCUCAGAGAAAACAAAAAGCUGUCGGUUAAACAGGGCAUUUGGGCAGUCAAGGGUAUUUUAGUCAUUUCACAAAAUACAGUACUCCGAUUGAAUUGAAAUUUUUGCAGGUCGAUAGUUAACACAAUUCCCUAUAACGUUCAUGUUUUGACCAAGAGAUGAUUUGGCCUUUAUCAUGGAUGAAUAUGCAGGUCAGAUCGGUUCAAAGAAACAGGGCAGAAUCUCUACCAAUGCUGGAAUUCAACUUUUACUCUAACAAAGUUGCACUCAAUCCCAAAAUCACUUCACAAGUUCCAUUUCCAACCUUAAUACAUCAUUUAGUAGUUAAACAACACUAAUCAAAACUGAAAAGAUACAAACCCUAGCUAAACAUGCCACUACUCCAUCAAAACUAAACAAUCAACCAUCAUAUGCCAAGAUUACAAGCUUCUAUAGCAUUUUUAGCUAGUUUAAGUUAAAGACAAGAGGUGGAUGAAUUUAUACCUUCCUAAAGCCUUCUUGUAAGUGAAAACAAACCACUCUCUUCCAAAAAUUGCACCACACCCAGCUUUCCAAGCACCAAAAGGUAAGUUUAAUCGGUUUAGUUUUUGUGAUUUCAACUCAACAAGAAAGAAUCAAGGUUGGAGUUGAAGUUGUUUUUCUCUCUUUUUCCCCCGCUUAGUUUUGGCCAACAUGAAGAAGAAUGAAGGAGAAAUGAAGCCAAUUUAGUGAUAAGAAGGAAGGAAAUUGGUUUAGUCAAAGUUGGUUGGAUUUCCGCCAAGUGUCGCUACAAGAUUAAAUCUCAAAAUUUUCUUUUCUCUCUCUUCUUUUAGUCCAAAUUUUCGGCUGUCUUAAGGAGAUAUUUAGGGCUGAUUUUACUCAAUUAAUAACAAGGAGAUUAAGGUAAUAAAGUAGUGUUCAUGUGGUGUACUCAAUCGGUAGCAAACGGUGCACGUCGGUUCAAGCCAAUUUUCCUUAAUUCUCUUGUACUUGUGUUUUAACUUGUAAUUCACAAACUUAUUAUUAGCACUUCUAAUCACAUACUUUCUCUUACUUAAUACUUGUUCUUCUCCACCAAAUUUAAUACACACACCUCACCAAGUAAUCACACUACCAAAAUACACCAAAAACACAUCAAAAACCCUAGUAUGUACAAAAAAAAAAUCUUAACAUAUGUCAUUCCUUUAGAAAAAUCAUAACUUGAGUUAUAAAUGUCAAACAUUCAUACAACUUGACCUGUUAAAAACUAGACUUAAAACACUACUAAUCUUUAAAAGAUACCUCAAAGAAAUUCAACUCAUAAGUUAGUCCAAAUUGAGUCAUAAGCUACUACAACAUUCCUAUGUUUACUUGUGCAAGGCAGAAUUUUCAGUCAAAUUUGCCAAUUUUUUAGAAUUUAUAGAUAUUGAAUCAAACUCUGAAUUUUCUACUGUAGGAAGCCCUAUGAGUCUAGUUUCAAACGCAACAAACGAAACUCAAUUCCGACUUUCCUACACGAAGUUAUAGCCGAUUUCCCAAAGUUGCGCAGAGCUUCCAAUGAAAAUUUCUAGAUUUUCUAACAACUUUAGAUUAUGAAACUUUUCUUAACAAAAUUCACUCCCUUGGCUCGCAUUCAACCAAGAAUCUAAAGCAAGUAAGUUCAAAUAAGAACUAUAAAGACAAGUAAAAUUUCGGGGUCUCACAGUGUUGCUUCGUGAAUCGCCUUGCAACUCCUAGGGAUUUGAACUCCUGUUACAAAACCGCGAGCCAUUCUUGUGUAUCAGAGGAUCUCUGAGUUUUUGCAACAAAACUACGGAAAUUUCUGUACUUUGCAACUUUUAACUUCAAUUCUUCUGCUUGCAUAAAUCAUGACCCAAUCAUUAUUUUACCAAAUUCAAAGUUUCUAAUAAGUUUAAAAUGAUACAAGCAUGCAAUUUAUCCUCUUAUAUCAAAUCAAAUAUAUCAAAAUUACAAAUCGAGGGUUUGAGUUCUUUAUAUUUAAUGUUUCUCGCCAACCUUCAAAAAGUGACUUUUGCCUCAACUUGCAAAACCUACAAAAUAAAUAACAAAAACACACUUUAACAAAUCAAAUACAUAUAGAAACAAACUUAAACUAAUGAAAUUAUUCAAAUAUUGGGUUGUCUUCCAAUUAGCGCCUUUGUUUAGAGUUGUUGGUCUGAUUCAAAAGAAUUACCUCUUCAAUCAUUGUUAGGAUCCUUUAAGGAUUAUGUUACCCCUUUAGGGACAAUUCACCAGUUAGAUAGGGUUUUAAACGCUGUCCGUUGAUUUUAAAGGGUGGACCUUGUUCAAAAGUCACCUCCGCGGCAUCAUAUGGGUAUACGUUUAUAAAUGUAAAUAGUCCAGACCACCUAGAUCUUAGUUUACCUGGGAACAACUUGAGACGAGAGUUAAAUAAAAGAACUUUUUCCUAUCUCAAAUUGUCUUUGAACAAUGUGCUUAUCAUGCCAAUAUUUCACUUUUUUUCUAUAUAUUUUUGUAUUUUCAUAAGCACUCAAUUGGAAUUCCUCCAAUUCGCUUAAUUGGAGCAAUCUUUUAUGACUUGUAAGAGAAAAAUUCAUGUUAAACUCCUUUAUUGCCCAAUAAACUCUAUGUUCAAUUUCGACAGGCAAAUGUCAUAUUUUUUCAUACACUAGACAAUAAGGAAACAUACCCAGAGGUAUUUUAAAUAUAAUCCUAUUUGCUCAAAGUGUGUCAUCUAACUUCUUAACCCAAUCUUUUCUAGACUUACUCACGAUUUUUUUUUAAAUCAAGUCAAUCUCUCUGUUAGUUAGUUCUACUUGGCCAUUAGCUUGUGGAUGAUAUGCAAGAGAUAUUUUAUACCUACAAUCAUAUUUUAACAAAAUGAGUCAAACCAUUUGUUGCAAAAAUGUUUACCUUCAUCACUCACUAUUGCCCAAGGGAUACCAAAUAUAGUAAAAAUGUUCUUUUUAAUGAAUUUAAUUAUAACUUUUGCAUCAUUAGUUGGGGUGACAGUUGUUUCUACCCAUUUUGACACAUAAUCAACCGCAACAAAUAAGCACUUAUUAUUAUUUGAAUCAGGAAAUGGACCCAUAAUAUCAAUGUCCCAAAUUUCAAAUAAUUUAAUUUCAAGAAACACAUUUAAAGGCAUUUCAUACUUUUUAGAGAUAUUACCGAUUCUUUGACAUUCAUCACAACUUCUAACAUAAUUUCUAACAUCUUUAUACAUAGUAGACCAAUAAAAUUCAAAUUGUUUUACCUUUACAAUUAUUUUAGAUGUACUAAAAUGAUCACCAAUUUCUCGGUUAUGACAAUGAAAAAGAAUAUUUAGUACCUUAUCUUCCGGAACACAUCGGCGUAUCAUUUCAUCUGCAUAAUACUUGUAGAACAAAGGUUCCUCCCAAAAGUAAUGUUUCACAUCAUAAAUAAAUCGCUUCCUUUGAUGAUAACUUACAUCUUUCAAAAUUAUGCCACUUACUAGAUAAUUGACAUAAUCUGCAUACCAAAGUGAACCUUUAAUAACUAGUAAUUGCUCAUCUGAAAAAUUUUCAUUGAUAGGAACAACUUCAUUUCAAGGGAUAUUCUCCAAACGAGAAAGAUGAUCAACAACUACAUUCUCGGAUCUUUUUUUGUAUCUAAUCUCUAUGUCAAAUUCCUGCAAGAGAAGAAUCCAUGGAAUAAGUUUAAGUUUUGUAUCUUUCUUAUUUAAUAAGUAUUUUAGAACUGCAUGAUUGAUAUAAAUGAUAACUUUAGAACCAACUAAAUAAUAUCUAAAUUAAUUAAGUGCAAAUAUUACGGCUAACAACUCUUUCUCAAUUGUAGUGUAAUUGACUUAAACAUCAUUUAGAAUCCUAUUAAUAUAAUAAAUAACAUGCAAUCUUCCUUUUUUUUCUUUGUCCAAGAACUGCCCCAACCGUAUAAUCAUUUGCAUCACACAUGAAUUCAAAUGGCAAUAACCAAUCCGGUGACGUAAUAAAUAGAGUUGAUGUUAAUGCCUUCUUUAAACUAUUAAAAGCAUUCAGACAUUUAUCAUUAAAGUCAAAGGUGGCAUCUUUAUUUAAUAAAUCACAUAGAGGUUUUGUAAUUUUGAAAACAUCUUUUAUAAAACGUCUAUAAAAUCUCGCAUGAUCAAGAAAACUUCUACUGCCUCUAAUGUUGUUUGGUGGUGGUAUUUUCUCAAUUAAUUCAAUUUUAGCUCUAUCCACCUCAAUUCUUUUAGAAAAAAGUUUGUGACCAACAUAAUUCCUUCUCUAACUAUAAAAUAAUAUUUUUUUUAAAAUUUAAAAUAAGAUUAGUACCUUCACAUCUUUGCAAACUUUUCUCCAAAUUAUACAAACAAUCAUCAUAAGAAGAUCCAAAAACUGAAAAAUCAUCCACAAAAAUUUUCAUGAUCGUCUCUACAUGAUCGGAGAAUAUAGCCACCAUGCAUUAUAAUUUUAGUGGGAAUAAUUUCAUCAUUUUCAUUUACAAUUAACGUCAUCUUACCUUUCUUUGGCACAAUAUGAAUUGGACUAAUCCAAUCACUAUUAGAGAUAAGAAAGAUAAUACCUGUAUUGACCCACUUUAAAAUCUCAAUACUUAUCACUUCCUUCAUAUUUGGAUUAAGUCGUUUUUGAAUUUCUACCACUGAUUUAAUUCUAUACAUGCAAAUGGUAGGGCUUAUACCCUUGAGAUCGGAAAUGAUCCAACCAAUUGUCAGUUUGUGCCUCCUUAGAAUUCGUAACAACUUGUCCAACUACACAUCAUCCAAAAAAGCACUUACUAUCACUGAUAAUGUAUCAUUUUCACCAAGAAAUGCAUACCUUAAAUGAUCGGACAAUGGUUUAAGAUCAAGAAUCGGAGUUUGCUCACUUGAUGACGGUGGUAACCUUUUUCCUUUUCCUAUAUCUUAUAAUAAUUUCCUCUUUUAUAAGGCACUUGAGAGUUCAAGAAAUUAGCUAUCUACAAAAUCUCCAAAUCAUCAUCUUCUUGAAAAAUAUAAUCAAACAAAUAAAUUUCAAUCAUAUCAAUUGCAUACACAUUAUUAGUAAACGAAAAAAAUUUCUCAAAUUCAUGCAAAUUAAAUUCAAUUUCAUCUUUUCCUAUUUUGAACUUAAACUUCCUUUGUUUAACAUCAAUAAUAGCACCGGCUAUAGCUAAGAAAGGUCUACCAAGUAUAAUUGACAUAUUAACAUCCUCUUCCAUAUCAAGAACGACAAAGUCCACUGAAAUUAUGAAAUUUUGACUUUUAUAAGCACUUUUUCAAGCACACCAAGAGGAUAUUUAACCGACCUAUCCGCUAAUUGCAAAGAAAUUCUAGUCCUCUUAAGUUCAUUUAAACUAAGUUUUCGAACAACACAUAGAAGAAUUAAUGAAACACUUGCAUCUAAAUCACAUAAUGCAUUUAAGAAAUUUAUGUUACCAAUGGUGCGAGGGAUUGAAAAACUGACCAGAUUUUUCAACUUUGGAGGGAGUUUGUUUUGAAUCAAUGCACUACAUUCCUCCAUCAAUGCUAUCGUUUCGUGAUUCUCUAAACACCUUUUCUUUGACAUGAUUUCCUUGAAAAAUUUGGCACAGGAUGAAAUUUGAGAAAUAGCAUCUACAAAAGGAAUGUUAAUAUACAAUUGUUUAAAUAUUUUAACAAACUUUUCAAACUCCUUAUCCAAUCGACUUUGCUUGAAUCUUUGAGAAAAUAGUACAGGAGGUAUGGGCACAUUAGUUUUAAAAGUUGAUUUUUCUUUGUCCACAACUUUUUCCUUUCCUUUUUCCUCUAUACUUAACCUUUGAUCAUUAAUCAAACUCUCUUAUUUGUCCCUUACAAGGUCAACAUUAGAAGGACCAUCAUAUUAUUUAUCACUUUGGAGAAUAACUGCCUUACAAUACUCCCUAAGAUUGACUUUGAUUUUGCUUGGUAACUCCCCUUGGUUGGUUUUUAGAGUUCACGGCAUUGGCAAUUUAAUCGAGUUGGACUUCUAUAUUUCUAUACAUUAAGGUUAAUUGGUCCAUUUUUCUCUCUAAUCUUUCAAAUCUCUCCAAGGUAUUUUUAGCUAAUCUAUCCAUAUUACUAUUGGUAGUAUUAGCUAAUGUUUCAAUGGCCAUCUUCCAUGAUGGUUUGGAUUCAAUGGGUGUUUGUUUUGAUUGGAAGUUCUGUGGAUUAGUUGGUCUUUGUUGAUUUUCUUGAUGUUUUCACUCAAAGUUUGGAUGAUUCCUCUACCCUGAAUUAUAAGUGUUGGAAUACAGAAUGUUUUGAAUUGGAUGGUUGAAAUUAUUCACAUAUUGUACUUGUUCCAAAGCAACACAAUUAAUAAUUUCAUGAUUUCCUCCACAAAAAGUACAACAUGCUACAGUAACAAUAGAAAUUGAAUCAACCUCACCUUGUUUAUUUAGCACUUUCACCCAUUGUCCAUUUUUGCAUCAUCAAUGAAAAUGGAAACAAUCUAAACUUUAUAGCAUCAUCACUUACUCCAUUAAGUUUGAUUGUAUCACAAAUUUUUGAAAAAUUAGCUGAGUUAGCAUUUGGAUCCUCCAUUGAGUGACCUUCAAAUUGAUUUUGUUGGAUCAUUUGAAUCAAGGAGGGUUUAAUCUCAAAGUUGUUUGCAUUAAUUGCCAGUCUUGCGAUACUUGUUUGUUCUCCUGAAAUAUCCGACAAUGCAAACUCCCUUAAGGCUUGAUGGUUCUGAUUUACUCGUUCUUCUUCCAUUGUUUCUCUUAGAGACUGCUCAAUCAAAAUCUCACCUGCACUUUCUUCCCUUGAAUUUUCUUCACCUUGUUGUUGUUGUUAUCGUACACUUCAUCUUGGCUUCCUAGCGGUCCUUUCAAUUUUCGGAUCAAAUGGGACUAGGCCACGAAGCAAUCGGUGCAUGCACUACAAAAAUACAACAAAAAGAUAAGUAAAAGAACUUAUCUUCACUCCUAUAUAUAUAAAAAAAUCAGAAAAAUUAAGAACUAAAACAAUAUUUAGACUAAUAUUAUCCAAUUCCCUAGCAAUGGCACAAAAAACUUAUGUGGUUUAAUAAAUUUCUAAUUAUCAAUUCAAUUUAGUCUAAUUACCUCGAUUUUCCACAAGUAUACAAGUUAAACGAGUAUAGUAAUGAUUAGGGUCGAUCCCACAGGGAAUUGGUUAAUUACCAAGGCUUUUCAACUAAUUUUAUUAUCUAAACAAAUUAAAUAUUAUCAAAGAAUAACAAUGACAAAAUUAAAGAGAUUAAUUUAGACGGUAAAACCAGCCAUACAAGUUAGAGGUUAGUUAGGCGGUACAAUCGGCCAUAUAACAUAAACAAUAAAUAUAAAACCGACCAUUAGGUGGUAAAUCAACCAUGUAGGCGGUAAGUUAAAAGAAAAGAAACAAAAGUUGAGAAAGUUAGAUUAGGUCUUCUUAAUAUUAAGAUCCUAGGGAUUAGAAUCUCUUGUUGCUUCAAGAUAGUGAUUGACUUGGUUAAAUUAGGCCUUUAACUUGUGACUUAUUUAGGAAGUAGCCAUCCUUAAUUUCUUGGAUGUUGUUUUCACAAAUAAAGAAGAAUCCUCACACCAAACCUUUAUCUAUUUGCAUGAUAAAUUAUCUUAACAUGAGUCCAUGAAUCUCAAUGAAGUUACAUACAUGUUCCAUCUAAAUCCACCUCCUACAAACAUGAGGAUGUAAUCUAAGGUUCAUACAUUUUAUACUAUAUAUGCAAGGCACAUUAAUAGCUCAAACACAUGCUUGGAUGAUAUAUUGUUGGUGAUCAAGCAACUACACAUAUUAGACGCAAACAUAUGAACAAACAAGUGCACAAGGUGGCCAAAAUCAACUCAAGUAAUCACACAAUCUUGAACUACAAGUUCAUCUUUUCACUAGGAUGCAAGAGUUUCGCUAGACAUAGAAUUGAACAUAUUGAAUAUAAAACUCUUGAAAUGAAACAUAAAUCAAACAAGGAAGUAAAGAGUAAAAGUUGAUGAAAUCUUUUCAAGUGAAUGAAACAAGCUCUUCAAGCUUCUCUUUUAUAACUUUGAUCUUCAAGUGUAGCACAACAAGGUUGUUGUGUUUUUAAGAAAACUUCUCUUUUUCUACUCACACAACCUUCUAUUCCAACUAUCACUCUCUAAUUCUUCUAUCCUUCCUCUCUAAAAUCAAUGAAUCACAAGGGGUAUUUAUAGAUAUUUUUGAAGAGAAAUUUGUGCUCAUAAUGUGGUCAUAAAAUUGCCCUUGACUUUUCCAACUCACACUUAGCUGUUUCCAAUCGGAUUUCUAUAGAAAAAUUGUUCAAACAGCAAUGUGAAAACGAGUGCAAGUUAUAGAACAACUUGCAGAAUUGGCACAGGGAUCCGCGAGGCAACACUUCCUGGAUCGCCUCGUGGUUCUGCUUCUUUUCUCUUUUCAAAGUUUCAAAUGUGACAGUUGAUGAUCCAUGAGGUAUUUCAUGCUGUUAGCUCGUGUAUCUUGAACUUUUGGACUUGAUUUACGACCUUUCAUUCUCUUUUCUUGAUAAUUGAACCCCUUGUAUGUUGAUCUUUGAAUCACCAAUGCUAGAGUGAUAUUCAAGUGCACUCAACUAUUAAAUUAUCCUACAAAUACCAUAUCAAUUGCACAUUGUACAUGUAACUGAAAUAAAAUGAAGUUUAUAGAAAUUAAUAACUUAAAGAGCUAGUUUCAUUCUUAAAAACCCUAAUUUCUUAACAAAAGUAAGCAAAUAGAUGUAUUUUAAGCAUAAAAAAUGAACACUUAUCACCUUAUAAUAAUAACCUCUAAAUAGAUACAAUUCUCCAAUCAUAUUAAAUGUAGGCUUGCAUAUGCAUAAAUGAAAGUAAGUAAACUCAUCAUAAUUUACCUAAAUAAUGUCCUUUAUAACCAAAAAAUCAGAGAUAAUACCAAAUAUAACUAUUCACGUAUACAUUAAGCAUAUGAAAUAUAUGUACAUAUAUCCAAAAUAACACUUAGAAAUUAGAGAUGAUACCUAAUUGUACGUAUCUAAAUAACCCUAACAAAUAUUAGUACACUCAUGCAAAAUAAAAACCAAAAAUUUAGGAGAUGAUACCACCUCUAUGAAACAUCAAAAAAGAAAUAACAAUAUUGUAAUAUCAAUCUUUUGGAACAUCAACAAGAAAUAAAAUGUUCUAACCCUUGAGAUAAUACCCAAUAUAACUAUACACAUAUCAAAUAAGCAUAUCAAAUAUAAGCACACUUUUCCAAAAGGGAAAAUGAUCGGUUUCAUCCUUCACAUUUCACAAAAAUAUUCUUUUCGUCCCUCACUUUUGAAAUGAAGCAAUUUCAUCCUUGACAUUUAAAAAUUGAAAUUAUUACAUCCCUAAACCUAAAUUUCAGUCUGAAUCAAACCACCAAUCAACCUGAUUACAAAUUUUGGGGGUAUAAUUGGAAGAUCACUUGGUUAACUCAACUUGAUAUUCAUGUGAAAUUUAAUGAACUUAAAAAGAAAAAAGAAAAAAUUAUAACAUAAAAAAGAAAUAUUAAUUUUUUCUACAUUAUCAUUGUAUACACUGACGGUUUUAUGUACCGCCAUAUCAUUUUAAUUUUAAUUUAAACACCAAAUUUUAUAUUUAUAAUACACAUUUAGAUUCGCAAGGGGAUAUACUAAUGGUGCAUGAAAAGAUUUAUCAAAAAAAAAAUUCUACUAUUCCAAGACAAAGAAUGGCCUUUUAUGUUAUUAUAUUUAUUUUUUUGGUUUAAUAAAUGUCAUGUGAAUAUGAUGAAAUUGACCGAAUGAUCUAUCAAUUCUAUUUUCAAAAUUUAUUGCUGGGUUAUUAGAUGGUUUGAUUGAAAAUUAGGUUCAGGGAUGUAAUAGUUUUAAUUUUUAAAUGUCAAGGACGAAUUUGCUUCAUUUUAAAAGUGAGGGACGAAAAGAAUAUUUUUGCGAAAUGUAAGGGAUGAAAUAGGUCAUUUUCCCUUUCCAAAAUAACACCCAGAAAAUUAGAGAUGAUACCAUAGUUAUACACAUCUAAAUAAACCUAACAAAUAUUAGUACGCUCAUACAAAAUAAAAAUUAAAUAAUUAGGAGAUGGAUAGUGUUAUGGCAAAUUGUUUUUAUUGUAUGACAUGAUAAUUUUGGAAUUGUAAAAAGUCAUAAGUGAAAAUCAUUAAAUGAUAUGGGCUUAAUUGUCACAAGUGAUAAGGGCACAUCUAAUGUGUAAGCAAUUUAGGAACACUCACUUUUUAUUUGAAAGAAUUUAGUAUAAAAUUUUCAUAAGCCAAAAAGUAAACUUUGAUCUUUUAAAAGCUUUUUGAAUAGAAUUUUAAGUAAUUGGUGGUUAUAAUGCUUUUGGGUGGUUAUGGGUGAAAAUUAGUUGUGAUUACAUUGGUUGGCAAUAUGGGUAACAUGUAAUCACAUGGUAAAGGUAAAAUUUAGUGAUUAUGAUGGUAAAGUUGAAAAUUCAAAAAGUGACAAACAAAGUUUACACCAAACCCCAUACUCUCCUUUUAUAUAUAGUAUGGAUAUUGGUUGUUAAGGUGUGGACAUAGGAUGAGAGGGUGUGGAUUUAGAUUUUCCCUACUUUAAAUUAUUUAAUUUGGCAACACCAAAAUUGAAGGCAACAUAGCAUAUUAUAAAAAUUAAAACAAACAUUCAAAUCAAUAAGGAAACAACUGCUACAAUUCCAAGCCUUCUUGUCAAUAAUUUUGACUUAAAUAUAUAAAUAUAUUUUUCCUCCUUAAAACAAAAUAAAAACUUCUUGACUCAUCUCAUGUCUUUGGAUUAUAAUUCAAAUUCUAAUAGAAUCUAAAAUUUUGUACAUAUAUUUUAAUGGUGAAUAAUGACAACAAUUGAUGUCAUUAUUAAAAUGUCUAUUAGUGAUAGCUUCAUCCUAAACCCCAAUUGAAUGAAGUACUUCUGGGUUAUAAUCAUGAAUAGGACUUGAAAUAGGAUUAUUUAAACAUAACAACUAAAGAUAUUUUCUUGAAUUAUUUUUUGGUAUUUAGUGAGCUUAGGGCACUUCCAAUGGUUUGUUUUUUCUAAGUUUUAUAUUUUUAAAGUUGGACUUUGUUCAUUAGGUUUAUUUUUUCUAAAGGUUUAUAUGUUUACUGUUGGAAUUUAUACUCUGACAUUGGAUUUGGAGUAUAUAACUAAUAAUUCUGACAUGUUAUUGACACUCAGAAUAAACUCGUCAUUAAUAGCAUGCGAGCAUCUAAAUGAUUUUUCAUAUAACACAUGAACAUCAAAUAGUGAAUAUAGAAGAAAAUUUAUAUGUGAAUUUAAAUCAACAUAUGUGCAUUUGGAUGGCUGUUCUUAGGACUAUUUUAGCAAAAUUUUUACAGCAAAUAUUUGUUUAAAAAAUUCUCUUUGGGCUCCUAUUUAUAGAGAAAUAUCAAAAUUGGUAGUAUUUUACAAAGUUUACACUCAAAAGCUUACUUUUUCUCAAGGACUACAAUUCUAACUUUUUAUUUGACCAAAAACACUUGAAAAGUGAGGUAACGCAUUGUGAAUUAUGAAGGAAAGGAAAGUAGGAAUACAAAGUUGGGAGGAAGGCAAUCUAUAGUUGAGAAAAUUUGUAGCAAUGAGAUGGGGGUAGAACUAUCAAAAUGGGUGGUUUAUGUAAGUUUGGGUGGGUUAUUAAAUGGAUCAACUCAUAAAUACCUAUUUAGUUACUGAUUCAAAAUAGACAAGUUAUCAAUGGUUAUAGUCUUAAAUGGGAGUGGGUCACCUAAUUAUCCAUUUAUGAUCUAUUUUAAAAAUUUUACUUACUUUUUGUCCUACAUUUUUUGAGCAACAAAAUAGUACAUCAUUGUAAUCAAAAUAUAAAAAUAUAACAAGUUACUAAAUAAAUUUUUACUUGAAUAAAAGGAAAAUAAAAAAUUGCAUAGAAAAUUUGAAAAUGGUAUCAAGAAAAAGGGAAGAGAGUGUCGCGCCCCACUUUUUGAUUGAAGUGAAAUGUGUGUGAUGUGUGAAGUGUGGUGUGAGCGUGUGCAAAAUGAAAAGUAAAAGGCCAUGGGACUUAGAAUGCGACGAUUUGGCCAAGUGAAGUUCAAAAGGGUUUUUUCUAUCAAAAAUAAAGUCGCCACUUGGUAUAGAGUUAGGGUGUACCAAGUCACCCAAAAAUGAUUUUUGUUUUUGAAUAAAAAAGUAAAUAAACC